AGCCUCGUUGCACGCCAGGACACCCGUCGCUGCCAGCAGCCGCAGGAGGCGGCCGAGGAACGACUGCUUGGAUGGCGGGAGGGACAGCAUGGUGGCCAGGUCGGCCAACGACGCGGCACCGCCGAGGCGGUGGAUGGCGGUAGGGAUGCCUAGCUGGAUGGCGCACCUUAGCGCCAUUGGUGUGAGGUAGCUGAGGCUGUGGCGCCAAAGGUCUGCCUGCGCCUGGACUAGCUCGGCGUCCGUGGGGAUUGUCAUGGUUUGUGAAGACUCCGCUGCCAUUGCUUUCUCUUUCUCUUGCUAUGAGGCUGGUGUUCCGUGUGUGUGUUGAUUACUUACCUAGCUAGGGCGGUUUAUAUAGGGUGCAUUUUUGCUGCUGCUACAGAAAUUAACAAAGGUUUAAUCAUUCACUCGUGGAACUCGAGGUCGACAUUUUCUUACCGACACUGCUCAAAAUCUGAGCGUGGAACUGUUUGUUGCUGGACAGGGCUAUGAGCGUCGACACGCUCAGGAGAAGAGCGGGUCUGUUUGCUCUGAUUCCUUUCCGCUAUGCUGCCAUACUCCGUCCGUUCCUAAAUAUAAGUCUUUUAAGAUAUUUCAUUAGGAGUCUACAUACAAAACAAAAUGAGUGAAUCUACACUCUAAAGUAUGUCUAUAUACACAGACAGCUCAUUGAUUACUAACUGUAAUGCGAUGUGCUCUUUGAGUACACCCGGCGUACUCUGUCCAUGAGGCUGGUUGUAAUGGAUAUUAUCAUAUACUAGUAUCAUGCAUAUGAUACUAGUGUAUGAUACCACAUCUGUAAUGCAUAAUAUCAUAUGAUAGUAUCAUACGGUAAUUCAUUUAUUGCCAUGCAUGGCACAUAGCAGCACAUCAUUUAAUAUGAUACGGUAUCAUAAUUAAUAUGAUACUCAAUCCUCUCUUUCUUCAUUUAAUUCCAUGCCACCUCAUCAAAAUUGCUUAGUUAGCAUGCAUGAUACUACCUAUGAUAUUCCCAUUACGGACAGCCUGAGUGGAGAUCCAACUCGCCAGGUUGGCUUGGGCUACAUGUUUAGCGAAAUAUGUUGAUGAGGAUCACUUACUUUGUCGAACUAGAUAAUAUCCCUAGCGUUGCUGCUGAAAUUUGUAGCAAUAUAUAGAAUCAUCGAUGCACAUUUUCACCAUGCAUAUAUACGAACAAUAGCACACCCAUAAGUACAUGCUACAAUGCCUUGCUGUCUUCUAGCAUUAGUGGAAUAAUUCUAUGAUGUGGAGGUUUUUCAUGUGCUAGCUAGAAAGUGAAAUGUAUAUGAAUUGUAAUCCCUAAGUUACUUAAUAAAAGCCCAUUAAGAGAUUUCAUUUAUUUUACUUCAUAUCAUCGUAUGUAGUCUGUAUUAGAAUCUUUAAAAGGUCUUCUAUUUAGAAACGAAGGGAGUAUAUGCUUGAUGAUAUGGACGAUCAAUUUGCAUGUGCUUUAAAAUAGAUCAACUACUUAAACUUACAAAGUAGAGGAUAUAGGAUAUGAUUAGCUCUGAAAUAUAUUUUUGUUAUGAAUCCAAGCAGCACUACCUUCCGUCUGUUGAGCCUUGAAUGGAGGCCAAUCAACCUACACAGGUAGCAGCUAGUUAUCACACGUCGCGCGUCAUAAACUGAACAUCCUCGACGACCCGGAAAUAGCAACAGAGGACAGAAUUACUGCAAUCAGUUGUUCUACUAGCUAGCACAUGCAUUGGUCGCAUAAACAAUGAUGAGCGCGUGCAGCGUGAUGCACGAGUGUAUUUUUAUAUGACCUGUGCAAGGGGACUUCCAUUCACGGCUAGGGAUCAAGUUUUACGGUGGUUUGUCUUCUUUUCCCUAAAACGGGUGUAAUUAAUCAUUCAUUAGUAAUCAUCCACCGCACAAGGACCCAUAACGGACACGUGAUUUUAACUGGGAUGCCCUUUAUUUUGACGACUGUGAUCUUUCCAGUUUGGAAGAAAAUUUUACAAAAAUAGAUGUGUUGGCGGUCAUAACGAAAUUGUCCGGGGACAAGGUUCCGAGGCCAGAUGCGUUCACUGACGUAUUCUUCAAAUCAUGCUGGGAGGUCAUCAAGGUGGACUUGAUGAACGCUAUUAACUUCUUCUCCAACCUGCAGACCGCCAAUCCGUAUUGGAUAAACUCAGCAAAUAUAGUUUUACUCCCUAAGAAGGAAGGGGCGGAGGACAUUGCAGAUUUUCAUCCAAUCAACCUUAUUCACUCCUUCGCCAAAAUUAUUGUCAAGAUCAUGGGUAUUCAGCUAGCCCCUUUCAUGAACGGUCUGGUUUCUAGGGCGCAAAGCGCGUUUAUCCAGACUAAAAGUAUUCACGGUAACUUCAUGUUUGUACGAGGGUUCACUCAACGACUACACAUGACAAACAUGCCAUCCUUGCUUUUCAAACUUGACAUUAAGAAAGCAUUUGAUUCAAUUCGCUUGGACUAUUUGCUGGACAAGCUACAAUGCAUAGGUUUCCCUCCCAGAUUCAGGAAUUGGGUGGCAGUCCUUUGGGCAUCAUCAUCUUCGUGGGUGCUUUUGAAUGGCAUUCUGGGAGACCCCAAUAAGCUCGGUAAGGGGCUGUGUCGGGGUGAUACACUAUCCUCUUUUGCUCUUUGUCAUUGCCAUCGAUCUUGUCGAGUAACUACUCGCCAAAGCAACGGAUCAAGGAUUACUGCAUCGAUUGCAUGGCCUUGCCACUACCUUACGCACCUCCUUAUAUGUCGACGACACAACCAUCUUUGUCACCCCCAUCAAAGAGGAUAUAGAGCAGCUGGCGGGUAUUUUGAAAAGUUUUGGAGAGGUUACAGAUCUUGUAGCGAAACCUAUAAAAAGCAUCGUGGCUCCGACCCGUUGCAGUAACAUUGACCUUGAUGAUAUCCUCCAUAGUUUUCCUACCACCCGUGGGGGAUUUCCUCUUUUGUAUCUUGGCCAGCCGCUAUCCACUCACAAACUGAAGAUGGUCGACUGCCAAUUUUUGGUGGAUAAGAUGGUGGCCAAGCUCCCUCCUUGGCAAGGAAACAACAUUAACUCAGCGGGCUGGUCCUGCCUUGUCAAGUCGGUCUUACCUUCACUCAUGAUCUACUCCAUCACCGUGCUUGUCAUUCCACAAGGAAUCAAUGCGAGUAUAACCAAGAUUUAGAGGGCUUUUCUGUGGGUCGGAACCGAUCACGUUUCAGGGGGGAAAAGCAAGGUAAAUUGGAAAACGGUAUGUCGCCCAACCUCUCUUGGAGGUCUUCGAAUCCUUGAUAUGAACAAAUUUGCAAGGGACCUUCGCUUGCAUUGGCUAUGGUUUGCUUGGAUGGAUCCUCACUAUUAGGAAAAAUCCUAGUAGUAGAAAGGAGUAAAGGACUACUAGUAGCGCGGGUGCCCGCGCUAGUACUAGGGACAACUAACUGGUACUAGUAGCGUGGUUGACACCCUGCGCUACUACUACGUCUGUUAGUAGUAGUGCGGGUACCACCCGCAUUACUACUAGUUAUCUGUAGCAUGGUUCUGGACCCCGCGCUACUACUACCUCAUGUCCUCACGAGGCCUUGUCCCGGUGAGGAAGUGCAAGUGGUUGCAUGGCAGAUGUGUCUAUCGCCAUGGACGACGUCCUGCUAGAUCCCCCUCUCCUUCCAGCAUCGGAGAAGGAGGAUGAAGGAGGGCGAGGGGUGCGGUGGGAGAGGAAGUCGCCGGAUUUUGGUGUGAGGCCAGCGCUGGCGGUGGGUGAGGAAGGGCAUCAUGGGGGGAGGGGAGAAGGGGAAUCGAGUGAGUGUGGGUUUGGGUUUGGGUCUCCGCAUGCUAUGUUUACGUACACAUGUGUUGGUGGGUCAAUAGGAGUAGUGUCGGGUUUAUACUCCACACUACUAGUAGUAGUGGUGAAGCCGUGCAUUCGCACGGGCUAGUUGCAAAAUAUUACCUUAGACCUGACUUACCAUACAAACAUAAAGUAUUUGAACAUCACGAGACUUAGUCAUAAGGAUUUUUUUUCCAUGAAUCAGUCAUGGAUACGUCUUACUGAUGAAAAAGUGAGUUGGUACAAAAACUAUAUGUCAAGACAGCACGCUGACAUGCCUUUAUAGUGUUUCUAUUUCCAUUAUAUAUGAACAAAAGGAAUUAAAUCACAAAAUCAUUCAAUUUAUGGAUGGUCACCUUAAGUAUAGUUCUUUUGCCUUGUUUGAGAAGCAUGUGGAGUGGCUGAAUACAUUCCUUAUGUCUAUCUAUGUAUAUAUGGAUUUGAAUAUUCAUGCUGAGUAACUAUUUAGAAAUGUCCACACAGUUGUCGGUGUUAGUUUGUUAUGAAAUUCUCCUUGCGUAUGUUAAUAAGUGACAUUUUUGUUACAACCGGCGUUUGACUUUUGCUAACACGUACCAUCAGCUUCGUUUUUUUGCUACGAUCACGUAGAUAUUUUUUUUGCUACACUUUUUGUUUUCUGUUGCAACCGUUGAAAAAUUUGCUGCAUGGCAUCGAAAUUUUGCUGCAUAGGAAGAAAAAUGUUGCAUGCGGAUCCAACGGUGCGGACGGCGCGGGGUUGGUGGAUCCUGCGACCCGCGCGCGGCCGGCCGAAAAUCUGGGCCGGCACGCCGGCGCAGAUCACCCCCCUAUACGAAAGCACCCCUAAGGUGUCCACUGCCAACAGCUAUGGCAAAUAAAGAAACAGAGAACGCUUGAUAUGAGCCUCCAUUACGCAUAACGCUUGAUAUGAUUACUAAUUCAGUUAGCGUCAAUGCAUCCAUGUUUGACAGAAAGAAUCUGUAGAUGUUUCACAUCCUACUCCACAUUCUAGACCUAUGUAUUAGACCAUUCAAAUACAAGAUUAUAUGCAUAUACCAUAAUGCAAAAUAAGCUUAAUGUCUCAGCUUGUUGGAGCACACAAACAUGGACACUCACACACCGAGUGCCUCAACACUUCUCGAAACUAAUCCACACACAUACGCACGCACACACACACGGACAUACAUAAAAGUAAGGCACCGACGCCUUAUUUAGUUCUUAUAGCACACCACUAAUUUAUACAUACGGAAGGGUUGCCAUCACAUUAUUUGAAGCACAACCUUAUGGAUAGACCUCAAUGACACCUCGAGCUCCCAGUUUCUUGACAAUUUUGUAGUCGCUAAACCCUGCUUUCACAAAGAUGGCAUUCCAAUCCUGCUCAUCCCGCUGUCUUCCCCUAGUAUAUACCAUCAUUGCCAUAUCCAUCAACAGUUGGGUUUCAAACAUCUUUCCUGAAGAAGAGUCGACCACAAUGUCUAUGAUAAUUACUUUUCCUCCCGCUUCUCGGGUAGGAAUGGCCUUCUUGCAUUGGGCUAGGAUAUUGAUGCAAUCCUCGUCACUCCAGAAGUGUAGAACAAGCGGACACGGAAAAAUAUCUAUGUGGUUAAGCAAUGUAUGCGUAUAAUCAAAAGACAUCAAAUUUAUACCUGACUGUUGGUAGUUUUCAUUUAAUUAUAAAGGGUACCUCAAAAGAAUGUGCAUACUAGUGAUCAAACUCUUAAUUUUUACUGUGGUAUAUAUAGAAUCAUGAGCGCUAAAAAAUUAUAGCAUUGUGGAGAAAAAACAUUUCAUACCUUGAGCAUUACAACUUGAGCAGGUGGGAUGGAAUGGAACAUGUCGCCGGCGAUAUAGUUAACGAAACCAUCCCUCGGAGCUUUAUCGAUCACCCUCGAAAGGUCCAACACAUUGCACUUUAUAUGCGGGUAAGCCUUAACGAUGGCCCUAGCUGUCGUUCCAUCACCGCCACAACAGUCGGUGAGCGACUGCAAGCCAUUGAAUAUGCCAUGGCAUUCCCGCAAUAUCGUGCCGAUUCCCAUAUGAUCAUGAGCAGCCAAAGAUUCAUUGAACAGCUUGUCACACUCGGGGUCGAGGGCCGCCAUACUCUCCUCGAAGAGUGCCGCUCCAUGCACAUCCUCGAAUGGUGAUGGCACGGGCGGAGGGAUAUCAUUCUUGAACCAGUCGGCCAGCCCGAUGGCCGCCUCCAUGAAAUGGCGCGAGGUCACGGUGAGCACAAAAGCCGUCUGACUGGCAUCGCCGUCAAUGCGUACACCAUCCACGAGGAGGUAGGACAGUGGGACGAGGCUGUACAUCCCAGCCUCGUUGGACGCCAGGAUACCCGUCGCGGCUAGCAGCCGCAGGAGGCGGCCGACGAACGGCACCUUGGAUGUCGGGAGGGACAGCGCGGUGACCAGGUCGGGUAACGAUGCGGCGCCGCCGAGGCGGUGGAUGGCGGUAGGGAUGCCGAGCUGAACGGCGCACCUUAGCGCCAUUGGUGUGAGGUAGCUGAGGCAGUGGUGCCAAAGGUCAGCCUGCGCCUGGACCAGCUCGGCGUCCGUGGGGGUUGUCAUGGUUUGUGAAGACUCGGCUGCCAUUGCUUUCUCUUUCUCUUGCUAUGAGGUUGGUGUUGUAUGUGUGUUGAUUACUUACUUACCUAGCUAGGACGGUUUAUAUAGCAUGCAUUUCUGCUACUGCUACCAAAAUGAACACUGAUUUAAUUAUUCACUCGUGGAACUCGAGGUGGACUGUGCUCGUCGACAUUUCUUACCCACACACUGCUGAAAAGCUGAGCGUCCACAUGCCUUGUUACGCAGACUGCUCACGAGCAGAGCAAGUCUGUUUAUCAUUCAUUUCUUACCCACACACACUGCUCAAAAGCUCAGCUUGGAGCUAUGCGCGUCCACAUACGGUAAAAUUCACUGUUUUGACUUUUUCAAAAAGUUAAGCCUCAUCUGCCCUGGUUGGAAAAAAAAUCGGAUCUGACCCUUUUGCUACCGCGAGAUACCUUGGCGGUACGGUAUAACAACCAACCACCGAGGCCCCAGACGAUAGGGUUGCACGUCUAACGUAAAAAUAAUUUAUAAGUUGCGGACACAGUGCGCGUGAGUGCCUACCGUCGCACCCCUUGGCGAUAGGGUCACAUGCGCUACCGCCAGCCUCUCUGGCGGUAGGCCAUUUUCCUACCGCCAGGGGUCUCGACGGUAGGUUGUUAUACCCUAUCGCUAAGGGAUCUGGCGGUAGCAAAAGGGCUAGAUCCGAAAAAAAUUCUCAGCAAGGGUCAAAUCCGGCUUAACUUUUUAAAAAAGGUCAAAACGGUGAACUUUACCUCCACAUGCCUUGUUAUCCAGACUGCUAAGGAGCAGAGAGAGUCUGUUUAUCGGUGGACUAUGGACACAUCAGCCUACUCAUAAUCGGAAUGAUCGUAAUGAUAUUAUUUUUAUGAUAUAUAGUAUCAUAAAGUAAUAUCAUAUAUGAUAUUACUUAUAAUCAUGUAGAAGCAUAUCAUUUAAUAUGAUAUGAUCGAUAUCUACCUACGUUAUUCGAACCCUAUUUCUCUUCGUUAAUUCUCUGUCAUUGUUUGUUAUUUUCGAGUGCAUGAUACCGACUAAGGCUAGUCACAAUGGAGAGUAACUUAUACUAGUGACAUAUAUUAGUCUAAGUUACUAUCUUCAUAGUAAUAAAUGUCAUAGAUGUAGUAACAUAGAUGCUUUCAUUUAUUACUUAAUAGAGUCAUUUUGUAUUGAAAACGUUAUGUUAUGAUAACAUAUUAUGUUACUCUAUUUGCCUCUCUCCUCAUUAACUACUUGCCACAUCGUUAUUUUUGCUUAUGUGGCAUCUAUGUUACUCCCACUAUGACCAGCCUAAGAUACCACCACUAUGGCCAUCCUGAAUACAUGAUAGCACCAAGACUCCUUUCUGCCAUACUGCCAGGUAAUCAGUUACACAGAAAGCUCAUUAGUUAUCAACUGUAAUGCCAUGUGCUCCCUAAGACUGACCAUAGUGGGAGUAACUUGAAGAGUAACAUAAGCUCCCAUUCAACAAAAUUGUCUAUAUGGUAUUGAGUUAAUGAGUACAUAGGCAAAUUGAGUAACUUAGCUAGUUAUCGUAACAUCACAUAUCCCAAUACAAUACAAGUCUAUAACCUAAUAAAUGAAGGUUUACAUGACAUCACACUUAUGUUACUAUCCACUAUGAAGGUAGUAAUUAAUGAUCUUAAAAAGUUGGUCAGAAAUUAUUAUCGGGGAGCUUCGAAAGGGAAUAGGAAGGUCCAGUGGAAAUCUUGGCAAAAACUUCAUCAGCCAAAGAGCAAAGGUGGUACAGGCUUCCAUGAUUACCGAUUAUUUAACCAGGCCCUUCUUGCUCGACAAGCCUGGCAACUCUUAACAAAACCUGAAAGUCUAUGUGCAAGGCUGCUGAAGAGUAAAUAUUAUCCUAAUGGCAGAUUGGAAGAAACGGGUUUCUCGGGUAAUACCUCCUCAUCCUGGAUUGCCAUCAGUCAUGGACUUGAUCUGCUUAAAAAAGGCUUGAUAUGGAGAGUAGGCAAUGAGAGCAACAUCCAUAUAUGUCGUGAUGCAUGGAUCCCCAGGCCCUUCUCAUAUAGGCCAACUUUGCUGCAAGGUUCAUGUAGAUAUCGACGGGUCUCCCAACUACUCAGAGAUAACGGCUCAUGGAAUGUGAAACUACUUCAAGAAGCUUUUCUUCCCUGUGAUGUUAAUAAAAUUCUGAAUAUAAGAGCUUCACCAAGAUUAGGCGAGGACGUGCUUGCCUGGGGUCCAACAACUAAUGGUGUUUUCACUGUCAAAUCAGCUUACACUUUGGCCUUUGAGGAAUCGUGUCGGCCUUCUGAAGAAUCCUCUAGUACUGCUCGAGACGGCAGUCGUUCAUGCUGGAAAAUUAUUUGGCAGAAUCUAGUACCUCCCACGGUCAAGAGCUUUGUCUGGCGGGUGGCAAUUAACUCUCUCCCUACUUGAAAGAAUAAACACAAACGGACACUUGAACUCUCAGGGCGUUGUCCGAUUUGUGAUCGUGAGGGGGAGGAUGCUUUCCAUGCCUUGUGUAGAUGCCCUCUGACGGUGAAAAUGUGGAGGUGCAUGUCUAAUGUUUGGUGGUUGCCGAAGCUGGAGGAUAUGAAAAACACUGGUACUGAAUGGUUGCUCCAUGCUCUACAGCCACUAGAAGUGUCUAAGAGAUUCAUGAUGGGCUAUCUUGACUCUCUCUUAACUCUGAAGCUCUCGGAGGAGGAAUGGAUUAAAGGGAAGCAAUCGAUAACAUAUGAACAUGUUACCGAGAUUGUUGUGAGAAAGAACUCAGAUAAUAAUGUUCCAUGGUCGACACCGGUGGAGGGUUGGACAAAACUUAACACAGAUGGUGCUUGGUCUUCUGUUGGUGGCGCGGGAGCUGGUAUGAUCCUCCGUGAUUGUGAGCGUAAGAUCAUCUUCUCAUCUUGUAGGGUGAUGUUUUCUUGCACAAGUGCCCUAGAGGCCGAUCUAUCUGGGAUUGUCACUUUCAAUUCCAAGAAUGGAGCUACCUAUUCACGUGGAGUUGAAUUCAUGGCAAGCUGUGAGAAUGAUAAAUGAUGGAGCCACUGAUCGCUCGGUCUUCUCUUCGCUGGUAGAGGAAAUCAAGCAUGUUAGUAAGCUGCGUGAUACAAAAUUUACUCAUGUUCUUCGUUGCCAAAAUUCUGUUAGCGAUUAUUUGGCUAAGUUUGCUAGGACUCACAAGAGAACUGUCGUUUGGCUUAACUCUAGCUUGUCAGAGAUUAUUGAUCUUUGUAAUACGGAUUGUGGCCGUACCAUUUGAGUAAUACAAAAUUCAUUAGCAAAAAAGGUAGUAAUUAAUAUACUAGGAUAAUGUGUACGUUACUCUUCACUAUGGCUAGUCUAAGUACACCUGGCGUACUCUGUCUAUGGGUCGAAAACUCGAGAUCCAACUCGCUUGGUUGGCUUGGGUUACAUGUUGAGGGAAAUAUGUUAAUGAGGAUCACUUAAUUAGUUAAUUACUCUCUCUGUGUUUCUAAAUAUAAUAUUUUUUUAGAGAUUUCAAUAGGAACUAUAUACGAAGACAAAUGAGUUGAACCUACAUUUUAAAAUACAUCUAUAUAUUGUCUGUAUUGAAACAUUUAAAAAAGGAAAAAAGGCUUAUGUUUAGGAACGAAGGAGAAGAUAAUACUUGUGGGUUGCUGCAGAAAUUUGUAGCAAUAUAUCCAAUUAUCGAUGCACAUUUUCACCAUGUAUGAACAAUAGCACACCCAAAAGUAAACAGAAGGUGUCUACAUCCACAAUGCCUCGCAUCCUUCUAGAAUUAGUGGAAUACUUCGAUGAUGUGGAGGUUUUGCAUGUGCUAGAAAGUGAAAUGUAAAUGAAUUGUAUAUGUUUGAUGAUGUGGACUAUUAAUUUGGAUGUGCUUUAAAAUAGAUCAACUACUUCAAAUUUACAAAAUAGGGGAUAUAGGAUAGGAUUAGGCCGGACCUAGCCUAUCCCCUAAGUUUAGUGGAGUAAACCUACAUUUUGGUUUAUGCACUUCGACAAACACCUGCUAUGUGUGUCCGCGAGAUGGUGACCACAUCGGAAACGAUAGCAGAUCAGCAGCAGCGGCAGCGGGGUAGCAUCAGCGUAGCGGCAUCGGUGUAGCAUCAGCGUAGCGGCAGUGAAGAACGACAACAGUGGAGCAGCAGCGGCGACAUGCAGGGGAACGGUAACGACGACGGAGUGCGGGGGAACGGGGCCGACGGUGGCGGUGAGUGGCAGGGGAGCGGCGGCGGGUGCCAGCAACAUGCAGGAGCAGCAGGGAAAGGCGAGAGAGAGAGAGAGAGAGCAGAAAUUUUACUCCGGUCCAUUUUAAUAAAGUAUAUUUAGGAAGAAGUUUGAUGCGGGAGUAUAACUUUUACUCCCUUACGACGUAUUGGGAACCGACUAUGUGCGCCUACGGGAGUAAAACCGCAUUUCACUGCCUUUAUGGCCUUUUAGGGAUGGUUACAAAUGGCUUUAGCUCUCAAAUAUCGCAACACCAUAUUCUUUUGUUAUGAAUCUAAGCAGCACUACCUUUGGUUUGUUGAGCCUUUUUUAACACAUUAUAUAUGCAAGCGUUCAUAUAUAUGCGCAUACACUCACCCCUAUGAACACACACAUACACAUCUUACCUGUAUGAAUACCUUAAAAGACUGAACCAACAUAUUAUUUUGAGCUUUACGAAUUCAUCGUAGGCGUCUCACCAUCGACAGAAACAUCUCCUUUCACUGAAUGCGCAUCGUCGAAAAUCCUAAAAAAAUCCAAAAAUAGUGCAAGCAUCAAAAAUUUAACCCCGAUGGUAUGGGAAUGGUCUCUCUAACCAUCCAACCACAGAUUGGUUUGUCCGUCUAUUGAGCCUUGAGUAAAGGCCAAUAAACCUACAUAGUUUUUUAGGGGACUCGGCCUACCUAGGUAGUACUCCCUUUGUCUCGGUUUAGAGGACAUGCGCGUAAUUUUAAGUUAAUGAUUGAACUAGUUAAAUAUGCAUCAUAUGUAAUGAAAAAUAUAUGUUUAAAAACCUCGUCCAUUUAAUAUAUUAAUGAUAUAUUUUUUAUGACAUGUAAUACAUAUGUAAUUAGUCAAAUCAAUGAGCCACGUGCAUGUCUUAUAAAUCGAAACAUCGAAACAGAGGAAGUAGCUAGUUAUCACACGACAAAUAAGCAUCACACGUCGCGCUGAACAGCCUUGACGACCCAAAAAUAGCAACGAAGGACAGAAUUACUGCAACAACAUCUCACCUAUCAGCUGUUUUACUACCUACCACAUGCAUUGGUCGCAUAAUAAACAACGACGAGCGCGUGCCGCGUCAUGCACACCUUCUUUUUUGUAUACAAUGUUUUUAUAUGACGUGUGCAAUGAGACUUUCAUUCAUUUCUUUGUAGUGAGAGUACUCCUCCAUAUUAAAAUAACUGUCUUAACUUCAUAUUAAUUUUAAUAUGAAAUGUUAUUAAGUUUGAUACAUUUAUUUUUGGACGGAAGGAGUAUGAAUCAAAUCAAGAGAGCCGAAAAGCCGGGAUAAUUAUAGAUAGGCUGGGAGAUUAGCAGGGUGUGUAGGUUUAAGAGGACCGGGGCCCCUGGUGGCCUUGCAUAAUUUUUAUUGUAAGGGGCGCGGGGAGCAUGAUCCCUGUUGGUCCCACCUCCAAUACUAUGCGCUCCUGCAACCCAACAAACCUGUGAAACCUAUGACAUCUGGCCCUAUAAAUAGAUCUGGGUUGGCCAAAACCCUAUUAUCCCGCCUUUCUCUCUCGAUAAUUUAACUACCAGUAAUCCUCGGUCACGGAGAUUUCUUUGCCAUUUCCUUUUUUCUUUGCUGGAUUUCAUCAGGGUUUUUCUUUUCUUUCUCCAAUUUUCUUUGUUUUUUUUAUUGAUUGCAAGUUUUUUUAUUAACAUUUAUUAAAUGCUUUAUCUAUAUUUUUGUUUACAUUUAUAAAUAUAAAAUAUUUGCAAGUAUAAAAAAGUAAAAAAAAAUGAAAAAAAAAUGAAUAAAAAACAAAAACAUAGUGCUAUGGCCAGCCUAGUACAUCGCUCGCUUAAGUCAAAGCCGCCCCACGUCUGGCUAUAAGCGAGGGGAGUUCCUAGUCAGCGCCUUCCGGGCUAAUUAGGAGAAGCGGCGCUCGCUACAGCUCCAAAUGGGCCGGACCACGACAGGGCACCGCAGAAAAUGCCUGACAAGAAUUAAAAUAUUACGAUCCGGCAGAAAAUGAGCCGGCCCACAUCAUGCACUACGUUUCAUGUUUUCAGUAACCACUAGAGCAUGCCGCCACAAGUGACAUAAUGAAGCGUUAAAGCUUUAAAAUCUCUUAGCUGGUCAUACAUGAUUUUUCAUUAAAAAAAGAAACUUCGCAGAUUUCCUAAAAAUGUGCAUAAACAUGCAAAAAAAAACUUACCCCUAUUCAGGAAAAUUUCAAUGAAUUUGAAAAAAAAUCAAUUUAGAAAAAUGUUCACAAAAUAUUCAAAAAAAAUCGUCAUCUUUGAACAUGAUAUGCUUCUUUACGUGCAUGAAAUGACAUCAAUUUUUUCCAGCAUGUGGGCAUGCUCAUGGCAGACCUCCAUGCAAAAUUUGAAAAAAUUCGGACACCAAACGUACAUUGCGCCAGGUUCGGCUAGUGUUGUAGGAUUUGUUUUACCAGAAAAAACCCUAGAAAAUGCAUAAACUGACAUAAAUCAAGGCAAUUUAACAUGGAUGCUUGCAUGGUGAUGCUAGGGUGUGGAAAGAAAUUCACACGCUCGCAUCAUCAUCACAAGAAAAGAAUGAUUACAAAAAAAAAAAAUAAGUGAUAAAAGGACCAGUUCGAUAAUGGGCCGGCCAAGCCGCGAACUGAGGUACCAUCAAAUAAGAAAAAGAAGUAAGUUGACAAAACAAUUAGUAUGUCCUAGUUGGUUAGUGUGGUUCUUGUUAGAUUAAGAGGUCUUGAUUUCAAAUCAUGGCACUUGCAUUAUUUUUGGACUUUCACAUAUGCAAAAGUCUAUACGGUUUGAUGAAAUGAUCAUACUACCUUUAUACGGUUUGAAAAUGAUCAUACCCUAAACCCUUUAUACGGUUUGUAAACAAUUCUAAUUUUUCAGCGCUCUCCCUCCCACCAUGUAAUCUUCUGUGUGUAAGGUGAACUUUUUACUUGGCUAAGUUUCUAAUAUAAAGUCAGCGGGUGCCUUCCCACUCUCGACAGGUUUUAAAAAAAGUUUGUGAAUUCAAAAAUAUACACAGAUUUUAAAAAAGUUCACAAACUUUAAAAUGUGCAUCAGUUUUGCAAAAUGCACAGUGAUAGGCGCUUAAGGUGCCAAAGAGGAAAUGCCGGCGGUUAAUGCUAGACCAAUAAAAAAAUGAAGACAACUAAUAGCCCCCAACCAGUAGUGUAAUUUUGUCAUUGGCUGUCAGCUCUUUUGAGUUGAGAGGACAAUGAAUUAGCUGCAGUGAGACGGAGAGACUAUUGGUGAAUUCCAUUUUUCAGUUUCUGCAACCUGAAGAAUCUGCAAACAUACAUAUCGAUGGCUGUGAGAGGCUUGUAUUUGGGUUGGGCAUCAUUCACCGUAGCAGCUGUUGUAUUUUCUGUCAGCAUUUAGAGAGGGGGAAAAACAGAGAGACGAUAGUAUCUGCCUAGAGUGUUUGUGAUAGCUGAACUGACUGCAUAGUUUUGUGGCUUGCCAAGUCUGCCACCUGGUUGCAGAGGAGGGGAGAACAGAGAUUUUUUGUAAAUCGAGUAGGGGAAGAACAGAGAUGAGCACAGAAUUAUUAUUUCCAGAGUUGUCUAGCUUGCCAAAAGGUAAACUGGCUACAUCAAUAGCUCAUAUAGUAACUGGGCAUCAAUCAACAUAAGUAAACUGAUGAACAUAUCUCCCUGGACCUGGAGAUUAAUUAUACCGCUGCAUCAUUGUUGGGCCGAGAUAUAUAUCCAUGGUCGCUUUCCAUCUCGCCUACCGCGGUUGCUUCAGUUGAGCGUCGAGCUACCAACCAGGCCAGCCGACGUGACGCAGCACCACCGGGAAAGUAAUUAAUUCUGAUCUCACAGCACGCUAGCACAGGCCGGCCUGCACAAGUAUGAUGUAUACAUCCAUCGAUCGAUCGAUCGUUAGCAGAGAGAUGGGGCUGAGCCAUCACCCGCGGAUUAAUUCAAUGGAGUUUUUGUUAAGUUACCCAAGCCACCGACGACAUGCCAUCUCGCUCCUGCUCGUUGAUAAAUUGCCUCACUUCUUCUUCCAGCUGGUAUUCUAAUUUUCGCCCUUUAAUCAGCUCCAUCGAUGGAGCUCCCCAACUCUAUGCUCCUGGCUCUGUUCCUCGCGAUCACCUGCUCCGUCGCAGGUAGGUUAAUUAUAUUCCUCCGAUGCUUGUUUAAUCGAUCAACUUAGUGAUCAUGCAUGCUUGUUGCUCAUCAUCCGGUCGUUGUUUCUUGGCAUGCGCAGCUGCGUAUGAUCCGCUGGACCCGACGGGCAACAUUACGAUCAAGUGGGACAUCCAGUCAUGGACGCCGGACGGGUACGUGGCGAUGGUGGCGAUGAACAACUACCAGCAGUACCGUCAGAUCAUGGCGCCGGGGUGGACGCUGGGGUGGUCGUGGGCCAAGAAGGAGGUGAUCUGGUCCAUCGUGGGCGCGCAGGCCACGGAGCAGGGCGACUGCUCCAAGUUCAAGGGCGGCAUCCCGCACUGCUGCAAGCACACGCCCUCCGUCGUCGACCUCCUCCCCGGCGUGCCCUACAACCAGCAGAUCGCCAANCUGAUGACCUGGACGGUGACCUGCACCUACUCGCAGCAGCUGGCGUCGAGGUACCCGACGUGCUGCGUCUCCUUCUCCUCCUUCUACAACAGCACGAUCGUGCCGUGCGCCCGGUGCGCGUGCGGCUGCGGCGCGCACAAGAGCACGGGCGGGCGCGGCGGCAAGAGCCACAGCGACGGGUGCAUCGCCGGCGACUCCAAGCGCGCGCUGACCCCCGGGGUGAACACGCCCAAGAAGGACGGGGCGCAGCUGCUGCAGUGCACCAACCACAUGUGCCCCAUCCGCGUGCACUGGCACGUCAAGCUCAACUACAAGGACUACUGGCGCGCCAAGAUCGCCGUCACCAACUUCAACUACCGCAUGAACUACACGCAGUGGACGCUCGUCGCUCAGCACCCGAACCUCAACAACGUCACGGAGGUCUUCAGCUUCCAGUACAAGCCGCUCCUGCCAUACGGCAACAUCAACGACACCGGCAUGUUCUACGGCCUCAAGCUCUACAACGACCUGCUCAUGGAGGCCGGCCCGUUCGGCAACGUGCAGUCGGAGGUGCUCAUGCGCAAGGACGACGCCACCUUCACCUUCGGUCAGGGAUGGGCUUUCCCGCGCAAGAUCUACUUCAACGGCGAUGAGUGCAAGAUGCCGCCGCCGGACUCGUACCCGUACCUGCCCAACUCCGCGCCGCCGCGUUCUUCCAUCAUCACCGCUGCUGCCUCAACGUGCCUGGUGUUGCUGCUCCUGCUCCUGGCGGCGUGAUCUAUAUAUCCUGGUGCCACAAUUUUCCCAUUUUGUAAAAGACAACGCACUGUUGUAGGUAGGGGCAUUUUGGUCUUGCGAGUAUUUUACCUUGUACACCAAGAUGGUAUGUUCAAGUGAUUUCAUGGUAAUCCUUAAGGGAAACGUUACCUUCCAGCCGGCUGCUCCUGCUCUCGCAUCCACCACCUCCUUUGUUUGCCACGUGGGCGCGUCUAACGGCUGAAAAUGGUUCCCGUGGCCGACGGAUCACAAGCCGUUUUCCUGAAACAAUUCCAUUGUUUCAGGACGUUGUUCCUGCAGCGCGCUGCUGGCAAGCAGGAGGGGCUCUCCCUCGAUCCCGAUGGAUCGGGAGCCAGGGCGGCGGCGUGCUCCAGGCAGCAGGGUGCCGCCGCCAAAGAGGCGGCGGGGCAGCCGAUGAGCAUGGGGGCGGCGGAUCCGGCCGGACCUCGCCGGAUCCAGGCCGGACGGCGGCGGCGCGACGAAGGGGCAGGCGGUGCGGCGGUUCCCUGCAGGCUGGGGCUGCAGCUGGCGCCGGAGUGCGCCCUGCCGGCGACACGCGCGGGGCGACGGCCGGAGGGAACCAGCGACGAGCCGGAGCUCCUGCGGCUGCGGAUGCAGCUCAGGGCGUGGCUCGCGCGAGGCUCGCUCCGAGGAGGAGGCAGGGAGGCUUGUUGCAAAAAUUCCUGAAACUCAACCGUUGUUGCAAAAAAUUCUUCCGUAAAAAUACCUAUGUUACAGGAAGACGAAGAAAAAAAAAUCUACAACAAGCAAAUUGUUUCUGAAACUCGACCGUUGUUUCAGGAAUUAACAGAUCCAAAGUUUAUUUCUUGCAACAAAGCGAAAGUUUCCGCAACUCGAGCGUCGUUUUAGAAAAUAACUACUGACCAUGCGGCGGGGAUGCAGGGCGUUAGAUCGGCAUCCGACGGCUAGCUAGGUGACGGAUAAUUUUUAGAAAUCAUCCGACGGACGCGUAGCGUUCCCCAAUCCUUAAUUAGAUGUAAGUUUCUCUGUACUUUUUUCAUAUCUUAGAGCAACUCCAACGGGUGAUCCAUUUCGUCAGUCACCGUUCGUUUGGAUCUGUGCUGACAAAAGUGAUAGCCCAAUGCCCCGACCCAUUGCCAAAACGCGUCUGCUUCGCGCCAGCGUCGAUCCAUUUCUGACCCAAAUUUAGGACUGAAAUGCGUCGGCGCGGAUGCGCGCGCCCUCUUGGUAUUCGCUCCAACCACCACCAGUCAACUUAAUUUAUGACGACCAUCCUCCACGGGCAAACGCGACAGCGACACUUGUCACCUUUUUUUAUCCGAGCGUCCGCUGGGGUUCGGCCCCGCUUCCAGAACCCCAUCCCCAUCUCGCCACCUCGUCGGCGACCAAACCCUAGACAACAGCCAUGGUCGUCUCCUUCCAAAACUAGGGCAAGGCCCUCGUCUACCCUCACGCGAUCUCCCCGCCGGUGUCUUCCCACCGGCAAGCGAGCGUGUCAGCGUCCCGGGGCACCAAGCACACGGUGGCACUGGGAGCACCGCGUCCCGCUUUUGUACUCCGAUGUCACCCUCCCGCACCACUGGCAUCUUCAUCCGGAGAGGAUCCCGGUGCCGGCCGUGCCGCGGUCAGCGCGGAUGCAUGCGGAGGAGGUGAGUCGCCGCCGGCAUGAGAUGACGCCGAGCAGCGGCUCAACCCUGUGUACGCGGCCGACUCUCCCAACUAGAAGGUCUGGUUCGCGGACGAGCACGAGGAGUAGCGUCGGAGCGGCGUGCGCGACAUGCAGCCAGGAGGGCCUCUGCCGCCCCCGCCCAUCGUUAGCGACGAGGACCAGGAAGCGGAGGCCGCCUACCAGGCGGCGCUGACAGCUGCACUCCGCGAGAGCGAGGAGGAAGAGUGGCGCAAGGUCGAGGAGGAGGACGCGGCAUACGAGGCGCAACUCGCGGAGGCCAUCGCGCUGUCCUCCGCCGGCGAUUGCGUCGUGCCACCUCCGCCGAAGACCGAGUCCACGGAGCCGCAGCGGGAGGUCUGCCAGUGGACCGGCUGCCUCCGCGAGUGGGUCUGCGCGCCGUCCAUCUGGUUGGACGCGACACUGCAGCAGGAGGAAGCCUACCUCCAGCACUGGAGGUCGCGGAACGUGGCGGAGGAGCGCGCCGACGACUGUCGACAGAUGGCGCUGCGGAAGGAGGUGGAGGAGGAAUGACGGAAGAUAGAGGAGGAGGAGCGCGCCCAUGGUGUGCUGCCACCCUCACCAGCACAACCCACGCCGGAUGGACUGACGACGGAGGCGCAGACAUUUGUGUUCAUCGGACCGAUGCUGGUUGACCUCACCGACACCUGGGCGGGCCCUGCCCAAAUGCUGGUUGACCUCACCGGCACCAACGUCGACAAUGACGACGCCUAGGGCUGCCUCCUAGUUUAGGUUUUUUAUGUUUAAUGAUUGUAAUGGGAACACAUGGACUCUCGCCAAGGCCGACUUUUAAUGUUUGUUUAUUAUUUUUAAAAAUGUUUUAAAAAAUCACGCAUCGAUAAAAAUGGAUCAGACCAGCGUUGAGCGCAUCCGUCGAUCCAAACACCGAAAUGGACAUUGGUGUUCAUCGGACCGAUCCAAACAGACAAAAAACGGACUUUAGGUCGGCCGGCUGGAGUUUCUCUUAGAUCGAAACUAAAGCAGUGUACAUUGGGUGUAUCCACCCAUAGCAGGUGCGACGAUCGACGGUGACAAUAUCAUUGUGCUUUCAGAUGUGAUCAGUACAACACUACAUCAGUCGUACAUCUCCCAUGCAUUUGCACAAUGACCCAUGUCGGCAGGCCGAAGAUCCCACCUCAAGUUCGCUCUCGAUGUUUAUUGUACAUCCAAAUUGUUCGGAUCAGUUUGCCCAGGCUUUCCAGGUGUGCAAAUGUUUGGAAAAAAAUGGCUUAUCUAUGUUUUUACUGUUUGAACAUAUUCUUAAAUGUCAGAUAUAUUUUUUUGAAUCGUACGAACCAAAUGUUUCAAUGAUGUGAACAUUUUUGUACAUUUUCUAUACAUAUAAAAAAUUAAAAAUAUAUUUUCGACAUUUUGUGAACAUAGUUUAUAAAUGUCACGUAUAUUUUGGUGAGUGGUAAGAAGAAUUUCUUUUAAAUUACGUGAACAGGUUUUUAUAUCUUAUAAUCUUUUGAAAAUGUGACGACCAUUUUCUUUGGACCUUCCAAACAGUUUUUAGAUGUCAUGAAUAAUAUGUUUAAAUGGUAUGGAAUUUUUAACAAAUGUAAAUAUAAUAGUUCUGAAGUGUUUAUAUUUUUUCUAUUUUGGAAUAGAAAUUCAUAAAAGAAAACUAGUGUUAUAGCAACUAAAUGGCCAGGCCACUACUGUGCAACUUGGGGCGAGCUAGUUCUCACUGCGUCUCGUAGUGGGCAAGACACGUUCUCUCCCCUCCUUGCUAGCCAGCAGUGCAAAAAAUUCCUAAAUUCUACUCCAUCCGUUUUGAAAUGUAAGUCUUUUUAAAAAUAUUAAUACGGACAAUAUAUGGAUGUAUAUGAUGUAUUUUAGUAUAUAAAUUGAUUCAUUUUGCUUCAUAUCUAAUUCAAAUUUUAAUCAUUACAACGCUUUUAUAUUUCAAAACGGAGAGGGUAGUUCACUAUCCAUAUGCCGCGGCCACAAAGUUUUUAUAUGGCCAAUGUAAUCAUUCCACACCGUUCUGGUUUUCGGAACAUUUCGAAAGAUUCUAGCAUGGUUUCCCCAGUUUUUUCUUCUUUGCGUUUUAAUCCUGAAUUUUCUUAGUUUUGAUGAAAAAAAAAGUUCUCCAUCAUUUUCAAGUUUGUUUUCCAUUUUUUGAAUUCAUCAUAUUUUUCCAAUUGAUGAGCAAUUUUAAAGUAAAGUAUUUUAAGUUUUAUGAAGAUUUUUAAAGUUUAUGAAUAUAUAUUGUCAACUUUGUAGCCUUUUAGAAUUCAUGAACGCUGUUUUCAUGAAAUUGCUUAAAUCUACGAGAAAACAUAUGGUCAUUUUUUAAGUUGGUGUUUUUUUCAAAAGGAAACACAUAAAAACAGAAAUGAUACUUGGGGAACGUCCUCUCGGUGGGAGGGGGUCCCAUCGAAUGUUACGGUACCGUCCGAUCAAAUGGCAUGAAUCUUGACACGCAUGGAGAGUCACAUCAUGAGUUUGGGAUCGUUCGGAAAAACCAUCCUGCGUGCGAACGUCUCCAUCACUCGUUCCCUUAUCUCCUCACCCACUGCCCUCCCCCCUCUCAUGUUUGUGGUUGCUCCAUCGAUGAAGGAUAAGAGGAGGCAGAAAGGAGUAGAAGCUCCAGCAAAGAGGCUCGAAGAUGGGGGAGCGUCGUCUGUCGUUGAGGAGGUUGCCGGCGGGUAGUAGGCGCAUAGGAGUGAAGGUGGUGGAGGACGUUGCAAGUGAUGAAGGCAUCUCUACUCCCGCCACCAAUCUGUGAUGAGAUGGGCACUAGGAGGAGCAGGUGCCCCUGCGGCCCAGUUAUUUUCGCGACGUCGACUAUGUUUCAGUUCAGCCUGUGUCUGAUGCUUAAGGGGCGGAUGGGUAGCGGCGCGGUGCUCGCCACGACCGUCCAUGGUAGGGGUGGUAGCGUUCAACACCGACACACACACGGCCCAUCUCCAGCUUAUCGUGGGUGUUGCCCUCCUCUUUUGCUGGUUGCAGUGCAAUAAUGACAGAGGGGCAAUGGUGAUGAUGCGGAUCCUGCUCCGUUCCUCACAUGGUUCGAUGCCUUCCUCUCCAAUGGUCUAAGUCCAAUGACAUAGAGUUCUUUUUCUUGGAGGGUCUCGGACGAUUGCGCACCUCUGGUUGGAACCAUGUGCAGUUUUAUGCAUCCCUCUCCUAUAAGUGCAAAUCUCACUUGUGUCCAUGUUUUUUUCACUCAUACUCCCUCCGUCCCGAAAUAUAUGACGCUGGGGAGUUUUAAGACAUCCCCUCAAAAUCGCCCAAAAGACAUGUCUACCCCUCAGAUUCAUUACAGGGGGAAUCGUUACACUAAAAAAACCCGUACUGUACAACAAUUUUGAAUCGCCCCCACCUCCAUCGCCCCCCACCUCCAGCGCACACCUCCAGCGCCGCCCACCUCCGCCCAACAGAUCCCCUCCCAUCUCGCCGCCCAGUAUAUCCCCCUCCCAUCUCGCGAGCGCCGUGCUGCAGAUCGCCUCUCCCUGUGCCGGAGAGGACCUGGCCAGCACCAAGCCACCUCCUGUCCUCGAGGUUUCCUGGCCAACGCCCUGCUGCAGAUCGCCUCCACCUUCCUAGGGCCUCGCCAGCUCCAACUCCAGGUACCGCAGAUCACCGCCGGCUCCACGUCCUGCUCACGAGGCUGUAUCAACAAAUCUUAGCAUCACAAAAAUUAGUACUGGAGCAUGAUGUUGGAGUAGUUGCAUGAUGUUGGAGCAUGACAAAAAUCAGUGCAUUACUGCUCCAUCAACAGAAUCACUUUUACUCAGUGGAGUAUAACAUCAUGCAACAUCAUUUUCAUGACAGGAGUACAGUUACAUGAUGUUGGAGUACUACAGUUCUUGAUGUUGCAUGAACUUACAUUGUGGCAGUAUAUGAACAGGCUCCAGGUCCAGCAGGUCCAACUCCAUGGUCCAGAAGAGGUAGCAGCUGAAAAAGCAGAGACAUAAUCAGGGCAAAGGCAUGGAGUUUGAUCUCAAUUAUACUCCAGCCCAAGAAGAAGACAUACUCCAAGAUGAUAUCAACAUGGAAGAAGAAGAAGAGGGCAUUGAUCCCGGUCAUGAUGCAGUCAGUGUCGAGCAAGGUACAAAUCCAAUGAUGGUCUGUGGCGUAUUAACAUGAACUGGAUUAGUUUGAAGCCUGAACUCAUUUACACUUGACUAUGCAAAUCCAAUGCUGGUAUGUGGCGUUAGUCAAUGAACGACAUAGUGUCAAUGCUGGUCUGUUUUGUUUCUAUUCAUCCCGUUGGCUAUGUAGCAUGAUUCUGGUACCAUUUGGAGAGUAGAAUUUCAGUGGGACUAAUAUUUUUCUUGGUUGUUACAGUUGUUGAGCAAGGAGUUACAAAAAGGAAAACCCUCAGCGACCAGGAAAAAUAUGCUGCUUAUGUAGCACUGCAUACAUUGUGUAUGAGUAGAGGCGGAAAGUUCAAGAGAAAUGACAAGAAAGACGUUGCACAAUUUUUUAAGGUAGAUGUGAGGAGUAUACAAAGAGUUUGGCAGAAGGCCAUGAAGCAAAUUGCAGAUGGUUUGGAGGUAGAUGUUUCCAACAAAAAAAAGGGAAGAUGUGGAAGAAAGCCAAAGAACAUCAACCUAGAGCAGAUCCCAACAAUACCACUGAACAAGAGGUCGACUAUAAGAUCACUAGCUUGUCAACUCGGUUGCAGCCCUAGCACACUUCAUAGGAAGUUCAAGCUGAAGCUCAUAAAGAGACAUACAAAUACCGUGAAGCCUGUUCUGAAGGACAAGAAUAAGAUUAGUAGGAUGAAAUUCUGUUUGUCAAUGCUUGAUGAGACAACGAUAGAAACACCAAGGCUUAAAUUCAAAUCUAUGCACAACAUUGUCCAUAUUGACGAGAAAUGGUUUUAUAUGACAAAGAGAAACAGGAACUAUUAUCUCUUGGAUGGGGAGGAAGAGCCUACAAGAACUAUACAAAACAGCAACUGUAUUGGAAAAAUCAUGUUCUUGACGGCAGUUGCUAGGCCAAGAUGGGAUAGUGAAGGAAAUGUGAUGUUCUCUGGGAAAAUUGGUAUUUGGCCAUUCGUGAAAGAAGUUCCAGCUCAGAGGAAAAGUGAUAAUAGACCUAGAGGCACAAUAGAGACAAAAUCAAUAAAAGUCGACAGAAAGGUGAUGCGGGAAUUCUUGAUAGAGAACGUCUUGGCAGCAAUACAAGUUGUUUGGCCUGAAAGUGAUGUUGGGCAGACAAUCUAUACACAACAGGACAAUGCUAAGCCCCACAUACUGCCUACUGACCCAGAGUUUUUAGAAGCCGUUUCAAGAACUGGAAUGGACGUCAGAAUAAGACAACAACCCUCCAACAGUCCUGACUUGAAUGCGCUUGACCUUGGGUUUUUCAACUCAUUGCAAUCUAUGACAGAUUGUAGCCCUAAAACACUUCAAGAUCUAAUUAAUGGAGUGUUGGAGGAAUUUGAAGACUACGAGGUUUACAAACUGAACAGAGUUUUCCUAUCUCUACAGGCUUGCAUGAUAGAGAUCUUGAACAAUGCUAGUGGCAAUGAGUAUAAAAUACCCCAUGUGAACAAAGAAAGGCUGGAGAAUCUUGGAAUUCUACCUCUACGGCUUUCAUGCCCUCGAGAGGUGUAUGCAAAUGCCCUACACAAUUUAGGGCUAAUGGAGAGAGUUCACUAGUGCUUAACAUGACGCUUGUUGAGAUGCUUGAGGAGUGAGAUGAGGCUUGUUGAGAUGCUUGAGAUGAGGCUUGUUGAGAUGCUUUGGGAGUGAGAUGACGCUUGUUCAGAUGCUUGAGGAGUGAGAUGACGCUUGUUCAGAUGCUUGAGGAGUGAGAUGAGGCUUGUUGAGAUGCUUGAGGAGUGAGACGAGGCUUGUUGAGAUGCUUGAGAUGAGGCUUGUUGAGAUGCUUUGGGAGUGAGAUGACGCUUGUUCAGAUGCUUGAGAUGAGGCUUCUUGAGAUGCUUGAGGAGUGAGAUGAGGCUUGUUGAGAUGCUUGAGGAGUGAGAUGAGGCUUGUUGUGAUCAUUUAUAUUCCUUGUUGUAUUUUGUGAUGAGACAUUCUCUUGUUGUGUUGCAUCCUUGUGAUUAUGAGCUCAUGUGGAGUAUGAUCAUUUGAACUCCUCGUGUGUAUAACUCCUUGUUUGUAUGAUAAGUUUUUGAAUUUCCUCAUUUUUAUGAUCAUUUGGACUCUUCAAGUUUAACUUUAAUUUUAAUUAAAGAAAAUCUUCUAGUUUAAUUUUAAUUAAAGAAAGUUAAAAUAAUGGAGGGCACAAGAGGGGUACUUGGAAAUAAGAGAAGAGAAAAUAAGGAACUAAGCUACUCUUACACUACUCCUACACUACUCCAAAACAGGUCUACAACUACUGUUGUAUGGAGAGAAGAGAGGAGUACUGCUGCAGCAAAAUGGUUGGUUUCUUUACCAAAUUCAGACAUGCAGCAAAGAGAGGAGCCCUCCAACAAUUUUCCUGGGCAUGCAGCAAAUUGGGAGCGAAGAGCAUUCAUAUCAAUCCUUACCAAAUCUUCUUGGGCUAGACAUUCAAAUUGUAAGCUUACCAAAUCAAUCAAGGUACAGUGUGCUGUCGAGCUGUCGAGCAAGGUAGACUGUACUAUAUGAUGUGCUAAGCUGGACAUUCAUAUCAGCAAUUGGCAGUGUGCUGUCGAGCAAGGUACAGUGUGCAGUGUGCUGAUGUGCUAAGCUCAAAAAUUAACAUGCACCAUUCAUAUCAAUCCUUGUUGCAACGACGAUGAAAUCACAAGGACAAGAGAGGGGUGCAAGCGUACCCGGUAGCCGACGAUGCCGCGGAGGCUGCUGGGAAGAAAUCACAACGACGAUGCCGCGGAGGCUGUUGACAAGAGAGGGGUGCAAGCAUGCAAAUUCAGACGCGGAAUUCAGUUACGGGCAAGCAUGCAAAUUCAGUUACGGGCAAGCAUGAAAAUUCAGUUACGAGCGAGCUUUGCACCUGCGGUGUGGGGAAGCUCUUGAUGGGGUGGCAACCAGCCGCGGCAGGCGCCACCACCCCUGGUGCCUCGCCCACCAGCUGUUGAUGGGGUGCCUCGCCCGCCGUGCAGCGCGAAGAAGGCCGUCGCCUCCCCUGUGGGCGGCCGUGCAGCGCGAAGAAGCCCGGACACCACGAACGCCGCGAGCACCCCGGCGGCCGGGACCAGGCGCGCGUGGGGGGCGGUACACGCACGGCCGGAGCACGGCGGGCAUCAACAGGUUCCAGCGCCGGCCCCAGAAAUCCCGCAGCGACGCCGACAGGUACGGCCGGUCAAACUGCGGCUCCAGACCCAGCAGCGCGCGCUGGACCCUCACCAGACCCAGCACCAGCAGCGCGCGCUGGACCCUCCUGCUAGCAGCCUCUCCAUCAACCUCCCACCAACCUUCUUGCAAGUCACGCCGCCCGCCGGAUCUGCAAACAGUCUUGCUCCACCAGCAGUCUUGCUCCUGCUGCUAGAUUCAAGAUGAGGAAGAAACGAGGUGCCCCUCCUGCUAGCAGUCUUUCUCCACCAGCACCUUCCGCCAUCUACUCCGUCGAGGAAGAAGCUCGUCGUCGGCGCCUAAAAAAUCAAACUUUUGACCAGGGUGAGCAGUGGGAGGAAACGGGGUGCACGGUGGGAGGAAACAGGGUGCGCGGUGGUUGGGGGAAAGGAAGGUGACGAGAGGCCGGUGACGACUGAGAGGAGAGGACAGCGACGACGGCGAGGGAAGGCCGGCGACGGCGUGGAUCUGGAAGGAGCGACAGGGGGUGGGUGAGAGGGGAACGAGAGUGAACGAGGGGAACGAGAAAGCGAGCGGUGGUGGGAGGGCUUUUCUGGAAAGUGGAAAAUGUUGGUAGUGUUAAAAAAUUUACACAGCAAACCCUCUAACGUCAUAUAUUUCAGGACGGAGGGAGUAGUAAAUUGCAUAGUUCAUCUAAGCUGAGAACCUGCAAUCUACCAUGGCAAUAGGUUUACAUUUUUGCCAUGGCAUUUUUAUCCCAAUGGCAAUUUGCAGAUUUUUUUUUAUUGAUAUAAGUGAUAAGUGAUAUGUUUGUUAAUUGUUAUGGUAUGAUGGCAUUUUUACAGAAGUUUAGUUGUGGCGAUAUGUCAUUUUUUUUGUAAGUGAUAUGUUGUGAUGGAAGAGAACCUUUAGUUUGCCAUGGCAAUAAGUUUUCUUAUUUUUGCCAUUGCAUUUUUUAUGCCCAUGACGUAGGAUUGUUUUUUUUAUAGUAUAAGUAGUAUUUUUCUUAUUUUUUACAUAUAAUCUGGUUGUGGUCACAUGGCAUUUUUGUAAGUGAUAUGUUGCGAUGAAAACUCAAAAUUUGGGGCCAUGUCUCUCAAUCUUGUUAUUUUUCGUUGACAUGCCAGAAAUAAUAAUUCAUUGCCAUGGGCAGCUCCAUAAAUAUUGUGACGAUAACUUUUUGUAAGGUAAAGUGUGUGCAUCUCUUUUUCCUAUGGAACAAAGUAUGAAUGUUUUUGUAAGCGACCACAUGGCCUUUUUUUGUAUGAUUGUUUUGAAUUGUUCACAUGGCAACGUGUUUUCUCAUGGCAAUGAUGUAGAUAAUUACCACAACACUAUAUAAGUGUCUGAAUCAGGGUUUUUUGUAUGUGCAAACUUACUAUAGGCACCAUGGAUUUUUUAGUAAUCAGACCAUGGCAUUUUUACUAUUGAGAACAUGGUAGUUUUAUUUUUAGGCACCAUGAUAUUUUUAUUAUUAGUUAGAGUAUGUCAAAAUUUAAAAUUAGACCAUGGCAAUUGAAAGUAAUGUAACCAUGGCAAAAUUAUUGUUCACAUCAUCUGCCUCUGCCUCUGCCUCCAUUGUCUCGUCCCGCAUCUGGCCUCCGUCCCUCGCCGAGGCCCCUUCCUGGCCCUCUGUACCAGGUCGCACGCAGGUCCUUGAAAACCAAAGCUUUUGGAGGGUGAAAUCCAUCGCCACACUCUGUGAAAGUAUGACCGAGAUGGCCACGUACAUACAGUGCAUCAAUCAGGAAGUCUCUCGUAUUUAACCCUGAAGAUUUCCAUCUUCUUGUUCUUGACAAGUGAAACGACGUUCUUUAGAGGUUUAUCGUGACAUUGAUUUCCACCCGGACUCGUUAGAAAUUGCCCUCGAGAUCCUGCGACUUCGGUUCAGCAAAGACAAACUUGCCAAUGGUGUCCGUCAGGGAUUUGAACCCUAGAGAUCGUCAUCCAUCUGGUAUUCUGGUUGCUUUCGAUGGGAGAUACCCGUCGUUCACCACCACGUCUUGCAGAUUAUCCUUCCUCGGACCCAGCUCUUCCAUCAUGGCCUCCAGAUCGGUAGUCGCCGCGCCCGAACCAGAAGCUGAUGAAUCCAUGAGACCUCUUGCCCGGAGAGAAGAUCCGCGGGUUGUGGUGUUCCCAAGCACGUCCCGCCCCGAUGGCCGAGAACCAGCCGAUGGGCGGGAAGCUGCUGGGAUGAAGUUCUCUAUGACAAAGGCGAUGGCCGCCGUCGACGAGAGGAGAGAAAAACCCGAACGAGAGGGGAUUUUAGACUAUUCCCAAUUAAUUAAUAUAGCUACAUCCUAGAAUAGGGUAUCUCAUUGUCUCGCCUGUUGGUUGCACUGGGCCCUCGAAUAUUUUCAUGGUCUCGCAUUAGUAGAUUGUAACCCAGAUUUAGCUUGGUAGCCAUAAUCAUAAUCCUCCAGAGGCGCUUAAUUUGGAUCCUGCCGCGGAGAAAACCGCGAUGCCGUUGCUGCCACGAAGACGCGAUGGAGACUUGCGUAACGAAAACCGGGAACAAUACCAGUCAAAGACCAUGUACCACCAGCGUACCGACAUCAUCCACUUCAUUUCAUCCCUCACAAAGUCACAACUCACAAGCAGUAGUACUCCUACAGUAUUUGACAAGUUCGACAGUCCAACUGUGCGCGUGCGUGCUCGAUCGUCGUCGCAAACCAUGUCCAUGCUGCCGCUGCAGCUGCUUCUUCUUCCGCUCGCCUCCUUCCUGCGCACGGCCGCAUCCACCACCGGCAGCAACGAGAGCUGCACGCCCAAGUCAUGCGGGGGCCUCACCAUCAGGUACCCCUUCUCCCUCUCCGGCGCGCAGCCGCUCUACUGCGGCUACCCGGCCUUCGACCUCACCUGCGAGGCCGGCACCAGCCGCGCCUACCUGAGCAACACGUUCAGGGAGCACCUGUUCCGCGUCGACAACAUCUCCUACCCAGACAACACCAUGAUGGCCGCCGUGCAGACCCCCUUCGCCGGCGACACCGGCUGCCCCGUCCCCGACUUCAACGUGUCGGCCAGCCUCGCCCUCUUCCCGUUCAACAUCAGCGCCACCAACAAGCGCCUCGUGUUCUUCUACAACUGCACCGUGCCCGCUGAGCUCCGGCUGCAGGGGCAGUGCGCCAACCACACCAUGGGAGCGUACAUCUCCGGUUCAUGGGACGACGGCGAAGGCGGCACACCGCCGCUGGGUGUUCCGACGAACUGUAGCUCGGUGAGCGUGCCGGUGCGCCGAGGAAUGGACCAACCUUAUCUGCUCCACCAGUACCACCGGCUGAUCAGCGAUGGGUUCUUGCUGGAGCUACCGGCGCCGUCGGAAGACUGCGAUGGAUGCACACGGAAGCGCGGGGAGUGCCGGUUCGAUCAGUUUGCGUUCCAGUGCGUCUGCCCUGAGGGGAAGCCCUGCCUCAAUUCCACCCAAACGAACUCAACAACUCCUCCAGGUAACUAAAGACCGUUUGCUUUCUUAAACUUGCACAGAUUAUUCUGAGAAUUAGUAAGAGUAAUGCCCCCUCUCUAAGGAAAUAUAAAAGCGUUUAGAUCAUUCAUUAAUCCGUAAGAAAAUAUAAAACCGUAUACUAGAUCAUUCAUUACUUUUACGAUUUGAACGCUAUUAUAUUUCUUUAGGAAGGGAGUACAUUACAGUAUAUAUUUUCUACGGAAGAAGUGCAUUACAAUACUGAGUUCAGAUGUUCGUAUGCACCAUAUAUGAUAUAUCACUUAAUUUAGUUAGAUACUGAAAUGGUCAAUUCGUGAACUUGGACUGCGUGCCUUUGAAUAAGUUCGGUCAUGGCAAAUUGGUUCAGAUACAGGAGUAUGCGUCAGUCACUCUCGUUCAUAUUGCUAACCUCAUUGUACAAUACAAAUCUAUGGUCUGAACGUCAAUUGGUAGCAGCCACUCGUGCUAUAUAUCAUUGUCAAAGUUGUGUAGUCGAUUGUGAAUUUGUGAUGCAAAUGUCGUUUUCUUAUAUGACCAUUCCACCUUCCAAUCUAGUCUAGAGUUGUGCUUUGAUGCUUUUCGAAAAUGAACAACAAAAUGUUAUCUAACUCCUACGCCAUGACUUUAGGUGAACAUUGGUGCAAAUCUUUUUAAAAUUUUGGUCGGUUUACUUAUUUUUGGUGCCAUUUUUGCCUUUUUGGAAGCCAUGUCUAACUUAUUUCCCCAAAAAAUAAAGUAACAAUCAAGAAAAAAACAUGAAAACAACCCCCCAAAAAGAGAGUCAAUGCUGACAGCUACAUGAAAUUAGGUUAAUUCUGGUCUAGAUGAGAGAGCUAGGCCACACCCUUUCCGAAAGCCAACAAGAAAUUUUGUGGACAGUUAAAAGAUGACAAUGGAUACUUAUCUUCAGAGUGGAAAUUCAGAAAGAAACUGUGGCUAAAUUCUUUGAAACCCAACUAAGAUACAGAAAGAAAAUGGAUUGUGGGGUCAGGUGACUCAGCUGGCCGGCCCCUAGUAUGAAGGGAACCUGAUCUGCAAGUCUUCUCCCCAAGUCUUCCAUGGAAAUCAACAUGACAGCUCAUUUUGUUUGAUAUUUCCUACCAAAACCUUCGACAUCAGGAGAACGGCAGGCAACCUAUCACGCAUGGCAGUUCAUUUUGUCGUCUCCCCUGUGCACAAGUGCAGCCUUGAUCUUUUGGUUUUUUGCUUUUUUUUCUUCUUCUUCUUCUUGCAUGUCACAUCAGUGAAUACAGUCAUUUCUUUUUUGAGGGUUCUCCACCUUAAUUUACUACUCAAAGCAUUAAGGAGAUUACACGACAUGACAUGACAGGGGUUAUCCAAAGAGUUUUGAAAAUGAUAUCCAAACUUCUGGUCAGCAGGUAAUAAUAUUUCACAGUUUGCUCUGACCGGUUAACUAUCUAUCACUGUCAUGACCUGUACGGCCAUAAUCAACGUGGUUAAUUAAAAAAAAUGUUUUUCAUGGUAAAGAAAUUAGGAGUCUAAUCUGCCGCCUUCCUUUUCAAAAUGAAGAACCUCACCAGUCUUGUGAAGUUAUGUACUCUCCCCGGUUCAUAACAUAGGCAGUUCCACAAAUCACCAUUAUAAAAAAGCAUCAUUAAUCCAAACAAGCUCCUAUUACUACAUUUUCAAAACAUAAAUAUUCACAAUCAAUUCUUGCUUGUAGACAACUCACUCCAUUGCAAAAAAAAAAAACUGAUUUUGCAUGGUCUCCAAUAUGCAACUUGGACUAAUAACUAUUGUAUAAAUGUAGGCAUACAAAUGAAUAACCUAUAUAAAGGGUACCCUCGGACCCUAACUAGUUCAAUCAAAUGAACUAAAGAUCUCCGAAGUGUCAGAGGGCACCCUAACAUCCAUCAAUUUGCAUCCCUAAAUAAAUGCAUGUUAACAAUUAUGAUAAGUAUGGUAAAAUACAUUGUGAACAAUUUGCCGAGAAUUUUUUGAAAACAUUUACUAUUAUUUUUCGUGGUAUUGUUCAUCCGGGUGCAUAUGCACCCCGGAGCCAAAACACCUCUCCCAUUAAUUACUUGCUACUGAAAUGUUCUGAUUCUUCUUCGUUAGACCUUCCGGCAUAUACAGAUACACAUACAGGUGCACAGGAUGCUGGAAUAAAGUACGUCACAGGUAAUGAUAACUUUAUAAACCCGCCACAAAGUUGAUAACUUCGAUCAUGCAGUAAUCCCCUGCUUGCUCACUCAUCAGCACAUAUAUAUGGCUUCAGGAAUCACAGUUUCUGUUCUGUUUGUGAUCAUACUGGGGCUCCUGUGCCAUCUCAUACAACUCAACCGAGCCAAGAACAAGAAGCGAUCUGAGUCGUUGGACGGCCUCAUCCGUGAAGGAUCGCCGCUGACAUCGCUGCGCAAGGAGUUCAACCUCGCCGGCUCGCCCUGCACCCACAUCUUCACCUACGAGGAGCUCGACGCGGCCACCGACGGCUUCGGCGCCGCCAACGAGCUCGGCGCCGGCGGCUUCGGGACAGUCUACAAGGGUACGUACAUCGAUCACAGCCACACACAUAGCCAUUGUUGGACUGUUCAGAGUUCAGACUACUUCAGAGUGGUAGAAUGAAUGGCGACGACGUGGGUUUGUGUUUGUGCAGGUGUUCUCCGGGACGGGAGCGUGGUGGCGGUGAAGCGGCUGUACAAGAACAGCUACAAGGGCGUGGAGCAGUUCGCCAACGAGGUGGACAUCCUCUCGCGGCUGCGCCACCCAAACCUCGUCGCGCUCUACGGCUGCACCUCCUCCUGCCGCGACCUCCUCCUCGUCUACGAGUUCGUCCCCAACGGCACGCUCGCCGACCACCUCCACCACGGCAAUGCCGGCGGCGGCGANNNNNNNNNNNNNNNNNNNNNNNNNNNNNNNNNNNNNNNNNNNNNNNNNNNNNNNNNNNNNNNNNNNNNNNNNNNNNNNNNNNNNNNNNNNNNNNNNNNNCCCCCUCAUGCUCUCGUGGCCGACCCGGCUCGGCAUCGCCGUCGAGACGGCCGCCGCGCUGGCAUACCUCCACGCGCACCAGGUCCUGCACCGCGACGUCAAGACCACCAACAUCCUCCUGGACGGCGGGCUCCACGUCAAGGUGGCCGACUUCGGGCUAUCCCGGCUGUUCCCGGCCGACGGCGCCACGCAGCACGUGUCCACGGCGCCGCAGGGCACGCCCGGGUACGUCGACCCGGCGUACCAACACCGGUACCAGCUCACGGACAAGAGCGACGUCUACAGCUUCGGCGUGGUCCUCAUGGAGCUCGUGUCCUCCAGGCCGGCCGUGGACAUGGCCCGGCCCGGCACCGACGUGAACCUCGGCAGCAUGGCCGUGCGCAUGAUACAGUGCUGCGAGAUCGACCGGCUGGUCGACCCGCGGCUCGGGUACGGGUCGUCAUCGGCGAGCGAGACCAAGUGCACGAUCGACCUCGUCGCCGAGGUGGCGUUCCGGUGCCUGCAGCCGGAGCAGGACGUGCGGCCGUCCAUCGGCGAGGUGCUGGACGUGCUCAGACAGGCUCACCAGAGCGUCACGGCAGAGAAGGGAGCCUCCGCCGUCACCACGGAUGAUGGCGCGGUGCUGCUCAAGAAGAGCAGGGACGGGUCGCCUGAUUCCGUCAUGAACCAGUGGAUCAGCCCAUCAACCACCUCCAAUUAUAGCAGCUGAGACUGACAGUUAUGUACUUACAAAAAUAGGAAAUUUGUGACCCAAUGCCGGCGGAGACAGUUAGGGCCUCUUUGAUUGCAAGGAUCCUAAAAGCACGGCAAUAGAAAGAACAGUGUCCAUGGACACUGAUCGAUCAAAUACGCAUUAUCCAGAAUUUUGCUUUACGGAUAAAGACGGAUAAAUACACAUAAUUUUUGCUUUACGCAUGAUCUCUAUGCUUGGGAAGGAUGUAACCCUUAUAACUGAUGAUAAAUGAAGAAGGGUUUGAAGGGUUUGAUAAAUGAAGAAGGUGGAGAGGAUGCUGCAGUCAAACAAAGGAGGGAUGGCUGCUGCGGUUUGUCGGGAUAGUCAUGGUUUGUUCUUGGGUAGCGCCUCGCUUGUGUUCCCGGGAGUGAACGACCCAGCAAUGUUCCAAGUGUUAGCAUGCAGAGAGGCCUUUGCUUUACCACAAGACCUGCACCUCCAGAAUUUUGUCAUCUCUUUGGAUUCGAAGCAAGUGGUUGCUGACAUUGUUAAAGGUUCAAGAGGAAAGUAUGGAGCCAUUAUUAGUGAGAUUAAGUCUAGCAAAUAAUUUUCAGUGUAAUUUAUAUUCCAAAGGUUGUGCUGUUAACUUUGAUGAAGCACACAGUCUAACCAAGUGUUCUCUUUCAUUGGGUCAAGGACGUCAUGUCGGGUUUGUUCAAUCCCAUGACACUUAUUGUAUCCCACAAUUAUGGCUUUUGAUGAAUAAAAACUUCCUUUCCCCCCUAAAAAAACUUUUUUCUGAGAGCAACUAAGUAAGGAGUACUUUUUCCGGAGCCCCUCCAAAGGUCACUUGGAGCGCUUUUUCACGGUCACUCAAAUUUUAUUUUUUAUUUUUUCUGUACAAAUUUUCUGCUUUUAGAUUACUUUUUGGAUUUCUUGUUUUUCUUAGUAUUUCAAUCAAUAAAUGUGUUUUUUUCCUUUCGCGAGAGGCAUUAAUUUAUUUUCACGAGAGGCAUUAACUUAUGGAAAUGUCUAUCCCUCAACCGACAGAUCAAGCGGAGUACAUCCGUCACCUCCUUCGAUCGACACGUGGCGCGGAGCUGGGCGGAGCUGGUUGGGCGCAAAGCUGGGCGGAGCUGGUUGGGCGCAAAGCUGGGCGCGGUGGUGAGGUUGCUGUGGUCCGAGAGGCCAGCGUGUUUGGAUCAGACGAGCAACUCCCAUCGAGACCCGACCCAUCCCGCGCCGUCAGCAUCCCCGCCGCAGGAGCAAGCUCCAUUGGCCACUCGAGUGCCGCCCCGCCGCCAAGAGCUCGCCGGCCGCCUUCUCUCCAGUCCGGCAAGCAAUGGGACCAUGCCGCCUCCCGUGGUCGGAUCCCGUCGUCAGGAGCUUCUCUGCCCCGUUGGAGAUGCGUCCCUGCUCAUUCCCUGCAGCUUCCCAAGGCCAGCCCCCGCACGCCCGACUCUCCGGUGGGCAUAGACUUGCCCCGUUUUCCCUUUCUUUCCUCCCCCCUGCUGCUUCUCUCUCUCUGACGGCAGCAGCGAGCCAGUGCCGGCCGGAACGAAGGAGGUGGAUCCCGACUGGGUUGAGGUGAGGCGGCGCUGUGUAGUGAAGCCAGCCGAAACGCAGAGCUGAUGCUUCUGCAACCUGACCUUUGUUGCGAAAAAUCCUGAAACAUGACCUUUGUUGCAAAAAUUUCUUCUGCAAAAGUACCUGUAUUACAGAAAGACGAAGAAAAAAAAUCUGCAACAAGCAAAUUGUUUCUGAAAGUCGACCGUUGUUUCAGGAAUUAGCGGGUCCAAAGUUUAUUUCUUGCAACAAAGCAAAAGUUUCUGAAACUCGAUCGUUGUUUCAGGAAUUAACGGGACCGCAACAGCCUAUUAGUUUCUGAAACUGAACAGAUGUUUCAGGUUCUAUUUGGUCGGAAGAUAUCGGAUCGGACGGUCGUGCGCGUAUAUCGGACGGCUAUACCGGUGAUGGGCGGAUGCAUGGCUGCUUGGGCGAUGCGUGGAUGCGUGAUGAGUGUGGGUGUCUUGGGUGUCUGUUCCAUCUAGUCUAAAUAAACACUUCGAGCUGAUCCACCCAUCUUCAUACUAUAUAUCCGGACACUAGCCACCACCUGCAAGUCCCAAAAAACAAUACCUACACUAGUUUCUUUCUGGAAACAGAAUUAUGAACAACCGGGUGGUGAAAUAAAGAGCAAGUAUUGUAGCACAAGGGUUGAUGCAUAUACCCAACUAUCUCUAGAGGUGGAAUCUCUUUUCGAUAACUUAUAUCAUUAGCAAUACAAAAUCAUCUAUCUAUGCAGUGGAUAGAUGUAGUAAUUCUAUAUCCAUGUGGAUCAUUAUAUAUAGACACAGAUGGUUUCCGUUGGAAUCUCGCUUCUUAAUCGAAAUGCAAAACGCAACAUAUAUUGUGUAAAAUUAAUAAGUCACCAUAUGACUUAUUAUUAUCGUCGGUACAUUUGGUACAACCGACGUAGUGAGUUUUUUAUGCACAAGGAUUACUCCUACAAUGAUGAUUAUUCAUGUUUAUGUGUCUACAAUGACGACACAUGUAAUCAUCUAAAUGAUGGAUAAAAACAACACAACUUGUAUAAAAUUAAAAACUGGUCAACCACGGGUUCAAACCCAGGGUGUGUCGCUCGGUUGUGGGUGUGCCUAGCCAUUGGACAAAAUCACAUGUACAUGAUUGAACAUAUUUGCAUACUUUAGAUACUAAGUCUGAUCAACAUAAACGAAGAAAUUUAUUUCAGAAAAAUAGUAUUGGGUCAAUGAUUCGAACCUGCACUCUAAGGCCAGAUAGCAACCACAAAUACCAAUCCAACGCGCAAAAUGUAAUAUUACAAAGUAUAAUUUCUCUUCAUAACAUAAUGUGCUCGUGUGGGUAAAACGACCGCAGUGCAGAUCAUUUUUAACGUGUUAAUUUUUCCCAUUUCAAAAAUUUGUAAAAAGUUACAUACAUUAUAAUCUUCUGUUGUAGAUAUUACAGACACAAUUAAAAUAAAAUAAAUUUAUAAUUUUCAUAUGAUUUCAUAAAAUAUAUACAUAAUAAUUUAACAAAAAUAAGCAUUAUUAAAUUACUAUAAUUAUGAUAGUAUUUUUAUAAAUUUAAAAAUGCUAGAAUUUUAAAUCAAAUAUUAUAUUAAUUAUUAUAAAGUUAAGUAUAUUUUAAUAAAUUCUUAUAUAUGUUUAAAAUUUUUCCAUGUUUGUAAUUCAUGUAGUAUUUAAAGUUUUCAUGCUUUAAGAAAAUGUUUGUAUUGUUUUAAACUUUAUAUGUUAUAUAAAGGUUUGUGUGUUUUAAAAAAAGGAUUCCAAUGCGUCCUUUGAUUACAGAUCUUCACAUGAAUAAUAUUUGAAUUAUACAAACAUUUUUAUAAUUCAUAAGUAUUUCAAAUUAUGUGAAUAUGUUUUAAAAUACAGUAACAUGUAAAAUUUAAAAUCAUAAAUACUCUUAUACUUUAGAAACAUGAGACCUUUUGGUUGGAAUACUAUCUGAGGUUGCUAUAUAACCAUUGGUCGGAUGUAUGAGUCACAAAUCCGUCACUAUAUUUUGCUGGAUUAAAUUCCUUUAAUUUAUGUUGUUUCACAUAGUGUAUAUAAAGCAUAUGAAUCCUUUUAAGACAUGACGUGUAAAUGUUUGAUUGGCUAGUCAUGUCUGCAUGUUAACUGCAAGUCACAAGUUCGAACUCCCACUAGACCAGUUUUAUUUACUUUCUCUAGGAGGGCCUACUUAUAAGAAAAAAUAAUUUCAGGUGGUUUUCCAAAAAAACUAGGCCACAUGCCCUAUUUCCAUACGUAUAGUCAUUGAUAUAUAGCGGGCCACAUGGCACACCGGAACACCCCGUGAGCAUUGUGGAUGUAUAUAGAUGAGAUUUGAACCGUAUUUACACGUCUAUGCCAAGUUAUGUAACCAGUUCGAUGUAUUUUUCAAGUUCAGGCACUAAAGUGAACAUUCAUGGCAACUUCAAGCACCACCUGUGUAUUUACCUCAAAAAAACGCCAAGUUUACAACUUUACAUGGUGCUUAGUCUAGCCACUACUCUCUAAUUUACAGAGACUCGGUUAUAUUCUACACCAACCCAACAACACAUAGACCAUGAUACACUACAACUGUACUUAAAUAACCAUGUGGACCCAGGGCCUAUGCUCGUGACAGGUUCCAUUUGAAACUACUCCCUCCGCCCCAUAAUAUAAGAGCGUUUUUUACACUAGUGUAGUAUCAAAAACGCUUUUAUAUUAUGUGACGAAGCGAGUAGUAUAUAGCUUGCAAGUUAGAAUUGUUGCAUCAGCAUUCUCUAGAAUGAAUUUUCGUCGGAGGAAUGAGAACAGGAAGGGGGUGGUGUGAUACCUUUGCAUGCAUCCUGGAUUAGUAACAGUUACUGGAUACUUGGUUUGCCGACUACAGGAACCAUGGUGCAUGGCCACCAUCAAUACCACAAGUAAAACAACAAGCCAGUUAGUUCUGUAAAAUGAAAAAAAAAUCAAUAGCUUCAUGUCGACGUAUUAUGAUAACAAUCUAAAACAAAAAUAAAUAAAAAGAAAUAGAUGAUACUGAAAUUUAAAGAUUUCACUCACUACCAUGGCUUCAACUUGUGUUACACGGCCAACAAUUUAAAGCGAGAUUACAGCUGCUGUCGCUGGGCACUUGACCAGGAAAGGAGCUAGUUUUGACAACUUGUGCGCAAAUGAAUGGCUGUUACCAGGUCACAAGAAGACCAUUUGAACCAUUCAUUCCAGUUAAUUGACCAGUCCCAACCGGUGACUAGAUUGCUCAGUCUAAACUGAGUCAACAAGACAGCAACCUGUGUUGCCCCAGUUUAAAACUACCUAGAGUAAGGCAACCACACAACCUACCAUUCCACUGAACCAUCUCCUCUGUUCCUCCUUACUGCAGCCAUUUGCGAUGUUCCACACCUGUCUAUUCUUAUGGAUCUUAGCAUCUUCUUUACAAGACUCAAGAACAACGAGCAUGGCGCAAGAAACAGCAAGCUGCCCACCCAAGACCUGCGGCAACCUGACCAUCUCGGAUCCAUUCUGGCUUGUCCAAGAGCAAGGAAUGGAGAGGCCAUGUGGUUUGAUAGACUACCAGGUCUACUGCUAUAACAACAGCCCAUUCCUGAGGAGCACCAUCCAUGAUGGGUUUGGAAUCCUCAACAUCUUCUACAAGAAUCGCACCUUCCUCACUGCCGAUAUUAACAAAAUGGAGGAUUUCAACCGCUGCCAAGUUCCAAUCACCAACACAUCCUUCAAAAUCGGUUUUCUUCCAUUCAAUAUCAGCCAUGCCAACCAAGAUCUGCUGUUCUUCUAUGAUUGCGUCGGUAAACCAGUGGCACCGCAGCUGCGACAUGGACUUGUGCCGAUGCAUUGUGGCAACAACUCAUUUGUUCAUCUCGGCAGAGGGCCUUACAAUGCUUCUCAUAACUAUGGAGAGUACUUCAUAAAGGGUUGCAAGACCACCCUCGUGCCAGUACUGGGAGCAUCAGCAAAGACGGCGAACGCAGGUGACUACGAACAAUUAGUCAGGGAUGGUUUUUUGUUAUCAUGGCCGGUGGUUCCUGAUCAGUUUUCAAGACAAGGUACGAUUAGCAGCUAGUGGUAGCAGUAUGUGUACUUUAUUUGCUAACAUAUAGUCAUAUACAUGAAAAUAUGCAAUGCAAAGAAAAUAAUAGCCUUUACAUAAUUCAGAUGCAUAAAGAUAUAGGCAUUGAAAGAUGCCAGUUGUGGACGAGGUUUAUUUGUUGCACAGUAGAUGCUAUAUGCAUGGACUCCAUCUGUUUGUUUUCACCAUAUAUGAUUAAUAAUUUGUAAUGAAUCAAUAUUCGCCAAGUUACGAAAUUCAAGAAAAUGGAUUGAACUGACAGCUAUACUGGAAUCUUCUUAAUCAUUUAAUUCCAUAUGCUUCACACAAUUAUUCUAUAUUGCUAUGGUUCAUUUUUAUGUUUUAUUAUUUUGUGAUUGAUAGUUACAUUGACUAACCAUAAUAAUUUCUCUGCAGAUGGUAGACAUAACAAGAAAUUAAUUUUGAUAGGUAUGUCUAUCAUUGCUUUUGCUCAGAAAAUACAUGAUACUUCGUGACAAACUUCCAUACUUUGAUGCUAUCUAAAGGUGAACUUUAAGUCUAAAAAUAACCAAAUUAUGGAGAUUUGUAAUUGAAUGACGUAAAAUUGCAAAAAUCCUGAUUUGCUGUAGUAAAAAAAGGAUAGCUUACACAGUCUCAUACUGUCAUACAUAUACUGAUAUAUACUAUCAACUAUAUUAAAUGGUGUUCACUUUUCGUUUUUUUACAGUUUCUCUGUCUGCUACAAUCAGCUUGCUAACAUGUCUAGUUUGGGGUGUGCACCGACAGAAGCAAAAGAUUAGUCUUUUCAUCCUACCAAAGCAGACUGGUAAUAAAUCAAGCACGGAAGAAAUGCUAAGGAGGUAUGGAUCUUUGGCUCCGAAAAGGUACAAAUACUCAGAGCUGAAACAAAUUACUAGCUCUUUCAAGGAUAAACUUGGAGAAGGUGGAUAUGGCAAGGUAUUCAGGGGUAGCCUGCAAGAUGGCUGUGUCGUUGCUGUGAAGCUCCUAAAAGUUUCCAAAGGCAAUGGAGAGGAGUUCCUAAAUGAGGCAAUUAGCAUUGGCAGGACAUCACAUAUUAACAUCGUCGGUCUGCUCGGUUUUUGCUUAGAAGGAGCUAAGAGGGCCCUUGUUUAUGAGUAUAUGGCUAAUGGUUCACUGGAGAAGUACAUUUAUAUAGAGAAUUCAGAUCUAGUUAUUGGAUGGGACAAGUUACAGCAAAUAGUACUUGGCAUCGCACGGGGAUUGGAAUAUUUGCAUCAAGGAUGUAGUACUCGUAUCAUCCAUUUUGACAUCAAGCCUCAGAAUAUACUUCUAGAUCAAGAUUUUUGUCCCAAAAUUGCAGAUUUCGGUUUAGCCAAACUGUGUCACCUCAAGGAUAGCAUCCUCUCUGUCGCCGAAGCAAGAGGUACCAUUGGAUUCAUUGCUCCAGAAGUAUUCUCUAGAGGUUUUGGUGUCGUUUCGACAAAGUCAGAUGUUUAUAGCUAUGGAAUGAUGCUACUGGAAAUUGUAGGGGGGCGAAUAAACGGAGAAAAAGAUAAUAUAGAGAGCUCAAGCGAUGCCUAUUUCCCAAACUGGAUUUAUGACAAUAUAGCAGAACACGUACAAAGUUGUGAAGUCAUCUACGACCUUGAAGAGACCAUGAGAAAGAUGGCCUUAGUUGGGCUGUGGUGCAUACAAACUAAUCCCGGAAACCGUCCUACGAUGAGCAAGGUGAUUGAUAUGUUGGAAAAGAGCAUCAAUGAAUUGGAGAUGCCACCGAAGCCGUUUCUUUCCUGUCCCUCAAUCCCGUCACAUUAGUCGCCUCACACAAGUUAUGAUUACUCAUAAGAUGUUCUGCCUCCCCUGGUCUGUUACCAUAGCCCAAAAGUAGGAUGGAGUGGAUAAAUGUAAAUUCGAAUUACCACUGCAUUUACCAUUAAGAUCUUCUAGCGCAUGAACCGUGUGUAAAAGAAAUGUGAAUUUUCAGACGUUACAUCCUGUCUCUCAGGAUGGCUGUUCGAGAUUAUUGUACUUGAUACGAGUCAAAAGUCAAAAUACGAAUAACCAAAUAAAAGCUGUUUGGGUGAUUUAUGUGUUUGCUUUUCUGACUUACUAAAGGCACCUAACUCCCGUUCUAGCAGGUACAAGAACUCCCGUUCGGUAGGCUAUAAGUUUGGGACAGACAGCUACCAAGAUCCAUACACACAAGCGACAGCUAGGCCUCCAAACCAUAAUAAGCGUCCUUCAGGCUAUAUUGUAGUUACGACCUGACGACCCAACAAAAUUCAGUAACCUGGAUUGGAUGCUAAACAUUGCAACAAUGCAUGCCAAGAAUGAAGUAUCAUAUCGACGAACCUAGCAUAUAAAAUCAACAGAUCGUUGUGACGUGCAGUAUUAACAACCAACAAAAAUCUAAUUACAUUAGACAAAAUUGACCUUGUACCUCCCUUGCCGCUCUUCGCGAGCACCCAGUCAAAUAGCACCGACCAUUUUUCCUCCCGGGCGUACAGACGCUCUGCUCCAGGCGCCGGCGCAGAUCGCACUACCUCGCUCUACUCUCCCUCGGCAUCACCGCCGCGGCCACGCAUUUCCCGCCCUGACCACCGGCGCCGCCGUGGCCGUGGCAGGCCGUGNNNNNNNNNNNNNNNNNNNNNNNNNNNNNNNNNNNNNNNNNNNNNNNNNNNNNNNNNNNNNNNNNNNNNNNNNNNNNNNNNNNNNNNNNNNNNNNNNNNNGACGGUAAAGAGGGGGGGGGAGGAGGUGGAGGCAGACGGCAAAGAAGAGGGGGAAGGCAGACGACAAAGCCUCCGUUAGCCCCUAACGGAGGCAACGCCUGCCGGCUGCCGUCUCGACAUAUUUGCCGACUGCUCUUAUGAAAAGCUGACGGCAAAGCUCUUUGCCGUCCGCUUCGGUGAGGCAGACGGCAAAGAAGCUACAAUGCCGUCGUAGGCUGACGCAGAAAUUUUGCCGACAGUGGGAUUCUUUGCCGUCUGUGAUUUACUCUUUGCCGUCUGUGAUUUACUCUUUGCCGUCCGUGAUGGCAGACGACAAAGAAGCUAAUUCCUGUAGUGGUUUACCCGGAUAUGUUGUCUUUGUUUAGAUUUUGGUGCUUGAUGUGUGAUUAUUUUGCAACAUGGAUAAUGACCGUCUUCCUUUCUAACGGAUGUGAGCGACGGUUUCUUUCUUUGCCAAUGGAGUUUUGUUGAUCCAAACACUUUGCUCUUAGGACCAAGGUGCAUUUCGGUCUUUAGAUCCCAGACAACUCGGGUUGCUCAUCCACCUCAAGAAACCUCAAUGAUGAUUACCUUUGUGCAGUACUCGUGGCAGCGAUGUUGGUUCCUACCUGCAAGAGUGCUCUUCUAUGUGUGGAUGUUUAUCCUCAACGGUAGGUCGUCGGUGUUAGAGGUUGUUAUUUUUUUUUGUCUUGUAAAGUCCAUUAUGUAAAGCUACACUUGUAUCGUUCUUCUCUAAAUAAAGCAAUUUGUGGUUCAGAAAGGGCAAAAUCUUUAUUCUACCCUUCCCCCCCCCUCAAAGCAUUUUUUGGAGGACACCCAUAUCCACCUCGCGAGCAUCCGUACUUUGCACUUGUGGGGAAUCUUUGUGGCACAAUCUAUUACGAAAAUGGUUCAAUGUGGCCGACAUGUUCCCACCCUACUUCUCUUUCUGCCUGCACCAUCGCCUCCCCUCCCUCGCUUCAACGCCACAUGUGACCGUUUUUGGCCUCCCCCAGGACCCUGCCGACAAUGCCAUGGAUCCAUCUCAACCGCCGCGUCCCAGUCCCUGGGUUAGGAAUGAGAUCUCGCAAUUUUAGCGGUCAUUGUCCCUCCAAUGGUCUCCCGUCACCGAUACGGCCAACACCUCAUCCACCCUGCCAACGAUGAAUUGGGCUCAUACACUACAAGAAAUAUGCUAACUUGCGACCUUCAAUAUUGGUCAUCGAAUAGUCGUUGAUUUCCAUUUAUGACCUUUUUACGACCAAAACGAGACGGUCAAAAGGUGAGUGUCUCUAAUAAACUAUAACGACCUUUCUUGUCAUAGACAUUUACGACCAAACAAAAGGUCAUAAAUUAGAAUCAGCCCGAUCCAUUCCGGUCGUCUACAUGGGCCAAACCCAAUAAUUCAGCCCAUUAAUUUUUUUCUAUUUUUUUUAUUAGCUGCAUGGGUCGGGCCCAAUAAUUUGGCCUUUUAAUUUCUGGGAUGGAGCCUUUUACUCAGCAAAUUUUUUAUAGUCCACUCUUGUUUUGGGUCACAACCUUUUUAGUCCAGUUCUUGUUUGGGCCUUGUCCUUUUAUUUUAAGAGAUGUAGCCUUUUAACUAUAUUUUUUACAGUCAACUCUUUUUUUAGGCCCAAGCCUUUUUAGUCUAAUUCUUGUUUGAGCCUCGGCCUUUUUGCAGUCCAACUAAGUUUAGAACCCAAACAAAAUGGGUCCAAACAUAACUCAAAUAAUUCACAACUUCACAAAAUGCAUAACUUCACACGUGCACAGCUUCACAAAAUGCAGUACUUCACACGUUCAGAAACUGCAUAGCUUCACAGUUUACAAUCUUUACACUACACCGCAACCCAGAUAUGUCUACUACUGCCUACUAUUACAAUACAUAUGCUACUCUUUGUUGAUAGGCUGCAUAGCUUCACACUUGGCUUUCGUACUUCACCUGUGCAAAAUAUUAGAAUAAGGUGUAAACAACAUCAAACAUUAGACAAUGAUGGAUCCAAUAGCUUGUAAGCAAGAAUUGGCAACGAAAUCCAUGUACAUAAAUGGUAUGACUAAGACUAACCAGCAUGUGUACAUGGAGUGUCUAAAAUUUUCUCACUAGCUAGGUGUUUUUUGGUAUAUAAUAUACUGACAUGUGCAACUCUAACUAAAUUGAUCAUAGAAAUGAAAAGACCUACAAGAAUAAUUUCAGUCAGAAUCCAUGCAUGUAAAAUUUUGAGCACCAAAAUAACAAAUCUACCAAACCAGAUAAUACUGUUGCAGUUACUACUCCAGUUAGUAUGGAAGAGCAAGCGGGAGUACUCAGAAAAUCAUUACUGCUCAACUAAUGCUACAGGAACUAAAACAACACACACAUGCCUAAUGAUCAAGUUAAUGGAACAGAGAUUAUUAUGGAACAUUAAUGUGGCAUGGCAAGGUUCAUCACAUAAUUUCAUCUUUGCUAAGCUAAUGUUAGAUCUGAACUAAAAAUUAUCCUCAUUCCAAGUCAACAAUCAACAAGACCUAUAUACACGAUCGAAAACAAGAACAAGGCUGUAAAAUUUCCGAGAAACAAGACAGUGUACAAGGACAUAUAUAUGGAUGGUAGAUAUAGGUUUUUGUAAUCUGAAAUUACAAAAACAGCAAGGUAACAAAUGGUAAAAGUGAGCACGGAUGGUAUUGCAAUGCGUGGAAACAAGGCCUAGGAUUCAUACUUUCACUAGUGAAGUUCUCUCAACAAUGAUAACAUAAUUGGAUCAUAUAACUAGCCCUCAACAUGCAACAAAGAGUCACUUCAAAGUCACUAAUAGCAGAGAACAAACGAAGAGAUUAUUGUCGGGUACGAAACCACCACAAAGUUAUUCUUUCUGAUCGAUCUAUUCAAGAGUCCAUAGUAAAAUAGCACGAAGCUAUUCUUUUCGUUCAAUCUUUCAUAGAGUUCGUACUAGAAUAACACCUUAAGAUACAUAUCAACCAAGACCCUAAUGUCACCUAGAUACUCCAUUGUCACCUCAAGUAUCCGUGGGCAUGAUUAUACGAUAUGCAUCACACAAUCUCAGAAUCAUCUAUUCAAUCAACACAUAGAACUUCAAAGAGUGCCCCAAAGUUUCUACCGGAGAGUCAAAAGGUGUGCCAACCCAUAUGCAUAGGUUCCCAAUGUCACGAAACCCGCAAGUUGAUCAUCAAAACAUACAUCGAGUACUCACAUGAAUAUCCAAACGUAUGUCAACCCAUAUGCAUAGGUUCCCAAUGUCACAAACCUGCAAGUUGAUCAACAUAGAUAGACACGUGCAAGACAUACAUCAAAUGUUCUCAAAGACUCAAUCCGAUAAGAUAACUUCAAAGGGGAAACUCAAUUCAUUACAAGAAUGGAGAGGGGGAAGAACAUCAUAAGAUCCAGCUAUAGUACCAAAGCCCGCGGUACAUGGGUCAAUCCAUUUAACCCAUUUUGUAAAUCGCAGGUUACACGGAAGUCCAUGAAUACAAUUUAAAUAGGCUUUUAUGUGGGCACCAUGGACGAUUCGUGACCACUUGCAGCCUGACAUGGCGACCUGCGCUCCCAGGGCAUGCGGGGACGUUAGUACGUCGGGUACCCGUUCUGGCUCGACAGUCUACACCCACUCUACUUCAGUGGCAUGUGAAAUGAUAUCUCCCUCUCAAUCGGUUGGAGGAACUGUGAAAGUAUGCACCUGCCUGAUAGCUCACGGCGCCAUGUGAUACUAAGACCUCUAGGAAGAUUAUCCGAGGGAAUUGGUAACUUGACCUGCAGCCACUCUUAAUGUUGUGGCAAGUCUUCCCUUGCACAUAUGCAUGGAUGUGCGAGGACUGCUGUUGUGGGUAUAAGUCUGACAGUAGAAGUAUGGGGUACGAAAGUAUAUGGGCAGAGCCUUAGCUACGGUGAGGAUGUAUGAGUUCAGGCCCCUCUACGGUGGAGGUAAAAGCCCUACAUCUCAGUGCUCUUGGGAGCUUUGUGUCGAUUGGAUUAUAGGAUUACAGCAAGUGCCAACCCCCGUACCAGUGGUGAAGGGCGGCUUAUAUAGAGUGCGCUGCCCUUCAUAAUGGCCUGGUGGACAGGGGUGGAAUAGUGGCGAGUAAAUGCUUACGUUACAGGUAACGUAAGCUUUAAAUGCUAAUAAUGGUGUAUGAAAACGUAUGACCGUUGCCCUCCUGGGAGGUUACGAUGUACAGAGUGGAUUCCAGUCGGUACGUUAGAUAUGCUCCGAGUGGAUCGUCACCAACUGGAUGAUGGGGGCGCCCUCAGUUCAGUCGGAACUGUCUAAGGGCAUUGUCUUGUAUGAAGGGUAGUCCUUGGGUAUGACCUAUAGGGCAGACCUAUGACCCUACCCUGGGACUAUAACCCCAUCAUUAGUCCCCGAAUGGAUCGGGGUUGGAACGAUGAAGUGAUGUCUGGAGUUUGGAACCGAUUGGUAUUGAGGUGACUUUAGCGUUGUUUGCCUCGAUCCAUUUUAUCCUUUCAGCCAGUGAUCCGAGUGAAUAUACCAGUGAAACAAACCGUCAGGGACCGAGUGCUUCCGCGGAAUCUUUCGACGUGACUGGUUAAACUGACAACGCUGGAUUUUCCGGGAUCCUCAAAUUUCGGUUGCCGCGCGCUCAGCGGGGAUGACGACAUCGCCAUCGAGUAGGUUUCGCCUCCUCGAUUACCGCGCCGUUAUCUUCUCCACUAAUCUUGCAGUGGCCGGUUGGGGGGAUAAGAUCAUGGGCCCACCUGUAGGUGACCCAGUCGGAGGCCUAUUAAAGCUUCCCCGACGGACUUUCCUAUUGCGCUGCUCAUACUCCUCCCAUUAAUCUCGCUCCUCCCGCAACUCUCUGCACACCUCCAGCCACCUCCUUCCCCUCCUCCUCUGCAGAUCUGUCGCCCUCGCCAUGACGAAGGGGCAGACAAGCAAGCUCGAGGCGCAGAAGAAGUAGAAGAAGAAGGGGGCGGCCUCCACUCAGCGGUGGCAGCGGGCGUUGCCGGCGGGCUGGAUCCAGGGGGAUUUCCUCCCCUCCUCGGUGACGGAGAACGACGUGCUGGAUCUGGUGGAGCAUGGCAUGGUCGUCAACAAGUCCUGGAGGCUGCCGGAAGGCGAGACGGAGCUGGCGCCGAAGGAGGGGGAGCGCGUUCUGCUGCUCAGCCACGUGGCCAGAGGUUUCUCCUUGCCUCGCCAUCCCUUCUUCCGAGGUAUCAUGAAUUACUCCGGGGCACAGCUCCAUCAUUUUCCUCCGAAUGCGAUAGCUCACCUUUCCGCAUUCAUCACCCUCUGCGAGUGCUUCAUAGGAUGUCCUCCCCACUGGGGGCUCUAUAAAUAUGUCUUCUCCGCUAGAUCCCAAACUGUUAAAAAGCGUAGCCAGUCGGAUGAUAAGACACACAUCCUCCAGCUCUGCGGGGGUUUAGGCUUUCAGAAGAAAACAAAGAGUAGCUAUCCCUCUCUCCAGCUAUCUGAGUCAGUUAGGAACUGGCAAUCGUCCUGGUUCUAUUGCCAGGACAUUGCUUGUCCGAAUGCUUCGAGUGGGCUGCCACCUUUCAGUUUAGACCGUCCGGGCCCUCCCAGGAAGCUAGCGCUCUCUAAGGGAGAAAGAACCCAGAUCCAGCCUUUGGUCGACGCGCUGAUAGCCGUCGUCCGGAGGGGAGUCACCGGCAUGGACCUGUUGGAGACUUUUCUAGGUCGGCGAAUCCAGCCGCUGCAGGCCCGAGACCACGCUAUGUGGCAUUACACGGGGCCUUCGGAUACCACUCGGUCUCAUCCAGAGGACGUGAGCGGGGAGACUGUGAGUGCGUGGGUCCGCAGCAUCACAGGCACGUGUGAUAACCCCGUGGGAGCUCGGCGGGUGAAGCCCUUCCGCGCCGAAAAUCCUCCUCCGAAUGAGGUGAGUACAUGUUGUCGAGUGCUUUUAACCUUCUCAGCUUUAUUGCUUUUCUUGUCUCGCUGACUGACGUUGCCGACUGUGUUUUGUGCAGGAGUGGACGAACUGACAUUCUGCAGUCUCGAAUGGGAAUCCAGUCGAGGAAGAGGAAGACAACAUGGAGGGCAGCGCAGAUAGCGCCGAGUACGUCUCUGACAGUGGGGAUACGGAGGAGGAGACGGAAGAGGAGGAGGAGGAGAGUGGAGAGCAGAGCACGUCACCCUCACCACCAGAGCACCGAACCAAGCGCCGUCAUGACCCCGCUGCUCCACAGGCUCCUCUCGUAGCCCCGAAUGCUCCUCCGGCUCCUCCCGUGGCCCCGAGUGCCCAGAGCGUGAAGAGAACCAGGGGUGCUUCCGCCGAGCCCGUGAAUCAGCCGUCCAAGGUGGCUAAACCCAGCGGGUCUAAGCCUCGGAAAGCUUUGCCUCGGAUGAGGAUCGCUGUUCCGGUCGCCUCAGCGUAAGUGUCUUGUUCUUUCAUCUUCCUUCAGUAUCCGAUUGAACUCCUCUUUUUGGGAACUCAUGUUUAUCCGUCGAGUGGAUUUCACUCAACAGAGCUGCUACCUCUGCCACCUCUCUGCCGCGCCAGGACGAUGAUCCCAUGGACACGGAUAACGCCGCCACGUCCCAGCAAGGUACGUUGUCACGACUCCGAGAGCUGUAUUACUGUUUCACGAGUGCUGUCUUUGAUCUUGACCUUUUUCUGUAAUUUUAUUUUGUUUAGUCGGGCUUCCUUCAGAGGUGAUCCAUCUGGACGACGACGACCAAAGGAGGUCGGAGCCAGCUUUGGCGCCUGUCCCUGGGGUUACCCAACCUGCUGCCAAUCCCGCCAUGAACGUGCCGCUGACUGAGACGGUGCCGCCGACUAAGACGGUGGCCCUCACGGCGGAACCGACUGGAGCGGAGCUUGGGAUGCCCAGGGAGCCUUCUGCCGUGCCGGGUCCGUCGGCUGUUCAAUAUUAUGCCCGACGCCUCCCGGAAGAUCAGGUAGGAGCCGCCAAGGACGCCAUGGUGCAGGUGGAGGUGAUGGUGGGCGACGCCAAGGGACCGUAUGACUCCAUCGCGUCCCUGUACAAGAAGAGCUUGGAGCUUCGGGACGAUAUCCGAGUAAGUGCGCUAGUAAGUGUUUACAUUCCUCUUGGUACCCAUUGGGGGUUUCAGCGAGGUACUCGAAUGCAAUAGGUUGGUUUUGCAGUGGUUUCACUCCGAGUGAACCCAGUGGGUGUAGUCUCCGAGACUUCUGCCGAGUGCUUGCACCGGCAGUUGUCUUUAUAUGUAUUUUCAGUAAUCUGAACAGAUCAGAGCUGAUCUGCCCGAAUGGUACCAGUGGGGGCAUGCGGAGUGCACCCACUGGGUGUAAUCCCCGAGAGUAGUGUUACUCGGGUCGAGAGAUAGUAAUCUCAUAGUGUUGUUGGUUUGCUAUGGAGCUCAAUGGGACCGACCUGUUCGAGCUUCAUACCAAUGGGGUCACUCUUAGUGAACCCACUGGGUGUAGUCCCCGAGACUGCUGUCGAUUGCUUGCAUCGGCCGGGGUCUGAAGAAUCUCGAGUUUUGAUUGUUUUGUCAUAUCUAUCGAGACUUGUUCCUUGUUGAAUCUGGCUGAUCCUCCCUUUGUGUCUCUUUGGCAGAAGACUUGUGAAAUGGGAUCGUCUUAUAAUGCUCUAAAGGCUGAGAAGACCCAACUUGCUGCGGACUUGGAGGUAGCUGUGAAUGAUCUGGUUGGCAUGAAGAAGGAUCUCGCUGAACGAGAGAAAUCUUUGGAGGAGUCCCGGGAGACCAACAAGCCAUUGCUAGCCGAAGUAGAAAAAAUGAAGAGGGAGAGAUCCGAAUGGAUGGGCCAGCUGAAGGUAAUGAACACUCGAUGCAGAGCGCAGGAGAACUACGUCGGCGACUGGGCGAAGAAGAUGGUCGCACUGCUUGGUGGUAAGUUCUUGCCGAGUGCUUUUUGACUUUGGAGUUCACUCCGCGCUUAUUUCCUGCUUUUCUUUUCUUUGCAGAUUUCUGUCGGGACGUUGAGGCCGAAACAGCUGAAAUUAAACGGUCGCUUGUUCCGAAUGUUCCACUCGGCGAUGAAGCUAACCGGGACAUGUUCCGAGUGCAUUCUCGCCUUAACAGGGUGGGUCCUUUCAUUGGUCGCCUGAGAAGAGCUGUCGGCCGAAUCGACAAGGAGCUGUGGCCUGAAGAUGACUCCCGGAACGAGAUAGAGGGGUUGAUGACUCGACUGGAGGGCGUCCCAAGCAGAGUGCACACAUGGAAGAAGUCUGCCGCUCGAUGUGGUGCAGACGUGGCGUUGUCUCUGGUCCGAGUGCACUGCAAGGAAGCCCGUGAAGACAAGCUGAAGACGUUGCAGGUCGCCAACACCAAGAAGCUUCGAUUCGAAGAUUUCAUGGAGACCUUCCUCGACACAGCCACUUGGAUUGCAGACGGAAUCGACCUCGACACCUUUGUGGAGCCUGCCAGUCCCGGUGACGCUUGAUAAACUUUAUGUUGAACGCACAUUUACCUCGGUAUGCCGAGUGGAAUCUGUAUUAAACUUUGGCCACUGCUGUUGGCCGGUACAUUCGUGGUUCGGUGUGGAUAAACUUGAUUUACACCGAGCCGACUGAUCAUAGAUCCAACUUGAAUUCGAAUCGGAUCUUUUGCUCUUCUUUCGCUGAGUUUUUUUUGACACGAUUUUGGCUCGUGGUUUUUGUUUGGGCGUCUCUUGGUGAAGCCAAUGGCAACCAUGCGGAGCAUGUAGUUGCCAGUUGUCUUCACAUCCACAUGAGCCUCAAUGAGGGUCUGCUAAGCCUCCGAGUGUAUCUCGAGUGCCCACUCGGAGGAAGCUUUUUUACUUAGGCGACUCUGGUUUGCAUCUAAGUCUCUGAGUGUGACUUGGAAUGCACACUCGGAGCAAUUUGUUUACUUAGGCAACUCUGAGUCGCAGCUAAGUCUCCGAGUGUGAAUUUUGGCGCACACUCGGAGCGAGUUUUUACUUAGGCGACUCUGGGUCGCGGCUAAGUCCCCGAGUGUGACUUUUAUUGCGCACUCGGAGCGGGGUGUUACUUAGGCGACUCUGGGUCACAGCUAAGUCCCAGAGUGUGACUUUUCAUGCACACUCGGAGCGAGUUGUUACUCAUGUAGUUGUCAGUUGUCUUCACAUCCACAUGAGCCUCAAUGAGGGUCUGCUAAGCCUNNNNNNNNNNNNNNNNNNNNNNNNNNNNNNNNNNNNNNNNNNNNNNNNNNNNNNNNNNNNNNNNNNNNNNNNNNNNNNNNNNNNNNNNNNNNNNNNNNNNGGCCGUGGCAGGCCGUGCGAGCACGCGCGGCGGGAGGGGCCAGAGACUCUUCGUCGCGCGGGUCACGACGGCAGCAGCGCCGGCACGGGAGGGAGGUGGCGCGGCGAAUCGAGGCAUGGCAGAUCAGCCGCCGCCGGCGGCGGCCUAAAGCUGGCAGAUUUGGGCUUUCGACAUUUCCCCUGCAACCCCCCAAAACGCUCACGUGGGCCAGCUUGGAUUAUAUCCCUUCUGUUUUGUCCCGUAAUAUAAGAAAUAAAAAACAAAUCCUUGGGCUCGAUUGACUUGACCAAUCGACUGGACCCGUUGACCGUUGUCCCUUUUAAAAAGUUAGUAUAUAACUAAUUUAACAAAGUUCAUGCUUUAAAAAAGGUUCACGGAUAUUUAAAAGAUCACGAAUUUGAAAAGAGUUUCCGGGUUACAUGGACUUACAAAAGUUCAUGAAUGUGAAAUAAAAUUGGGUUUCAGAAAAAUUGAAAUAAAAUUUGAAUAAUGUUCAUCAAUUUGGAAAAGAAAACAAAAAACAUGUCCUAGAAAACCCAGGAGGAAAACGCCCAAAAAAUGAUGAAAGCCAAUCGAGCCCAAACCCGGUGAGAGGAGGUCCUAUCUGACGCUCUUUGCGGUACAAUGUCCACCGGACGCACAGGCAGUCUCCUGACUGGUUCGGCCAUGUCGCUCGCGACCGGUAUAUAACAACUGUUCACAUUCCCAAACUUGCUCGAGGUUUUAAAUAUUGUUCUGCAUUCAAAACACUGUUCUUAAAUUUAGAAAAUUUUCACACUUUCAUAAAAUUCAAAAUGUUCUAGAUUCAGAGCAAAAUAAUUUAAACUGAGAACAAUUGGAAAAUAAUGAAUUUGUUUCGAAAUGAAAAGGUAGCCUAUAUAGGUGAACAAAAAACUGAAACCAAAACAUUUUUCUAAACCAACAAACGACUUUCCAAAACAGGAACAUUGUUUGAAUUGGUUUAGAAAGUUUGUGAACAAAAAUUGAAAACAAGAACAUUUUUUGAAAUUUGUGAAAAAAUAAAAAAACAGGAACAUUUUUGAAACUUAAAAACAUAUAUUGGAAGGCAAAUUUUUUUUCAAAUAUGUGCACAUUUUUUAACGAAUCAAUGAAUGUUUCUGAAUUUCUGAAAAAAAACUGAAACAGGAACAUUUUUCAAACUUAUGAACAUUUGUUUUGAAAGGUGAACAUUUUUCUAAAUACGCGCACAUUUUUUGAAAACAAGCACUAUUUUUGAAUUUCUGAACAAAAUUUCAAACAGGAACAUUUUUUUGAAAGGUGAACAUCUUUUAAUAAUGAUGAAAUGUUUUGGAACUUCUGAACAAAAAAAAAAAAACUGAAAAAAAUGAACUUCCAAAUAUUUUUUAAAAUUUUGAACAAAUUUUGAAGUUCCAAAAAGUAAAAUUAAGAAUAAAAAACGAGUAUAAAAGGAACUACAAUAGCAAGAGCAAAAAAGGAAGAGAAAUACUAACAAAGAAAAAGGAAACAGAAAACGAAAAACGAAAAACGAAAAACAAGAAAUAAAUAACCGAAAACCACAUAAAACUGGUUCUGGAACCUUCUAGAAGCUUCCUAAAACCUGUUAGAAACUUUCUAUCAGGUUCCCAAAACCGGAAAGUGUAACCCAUAAGUUAUCUAGUAAUUGGUCCGGCCCACCUUGUUCACUAGCUCGCUCUUUGUGCGAGUUGGCGACUGUUGGCCACAUAGAACGGCAAAUAGGAAUUUCCAAAAAACAAACAAUGCCAGCAGAUGAUGUGAAGAGAAAGUAUUACUCAUACAUGGGACAGACUAUUACAAUAGAACAAGAUUCAUGAAGGUGUGCGCUCUUUACAUAAGCAUCGUAUCUCGCACAUGAAGCGCUAAAUAGGAUAUGGCUACAUCUAUGGUCACAUCCCAAACACGCAUCAUUGGGCGAGACUUAUCCCUUCGUCUCUUCAUUAAAAACUCCACGUGCUCGAUCGCCAUAAUAGUUCUCAAUAUUGUAAUUUAAGUUGAAAAGGUGGUCUAAUUACACCGUCAUUGUUAUUUACAAAUACAGUUGGCCACAACUCUAACAGCUGCCAUCAAAACUUUCCCUCACGCCAGCGCAUUGGUCCUCCUCCUCUUCCCUGCGCGACAGCCUCAUCAGCGCCAAGAGGGGUGGAGACUCGUCGGUCUGUUUCCUUUUUCCUCCUUAGGUUUUGUUUCCUUAGCGAUAUCAAGGAGGUGGUAACAGUGAUGUCAUGCUAGAAUAAGGUUACCCAGGUAUCUCCAACAUCGAUGGCGUCCGAUCAAACAUCGACGAAAGGGCAUGUGAGAGUUCGUUCACUACUGGAAAAUAGUUUUUUGCCAUCUGCCAAAUCUUUGCCGUCAGCUAGCUGAUGGCAAAGAGUGUCUUUGCCAUCAGCUGCCACAGAGCAGACGGCAAAGCACUGGGUGAUGGCAUAGAAUGUUUUGCCAUCAGUCACAUCUUUGCCGUCAGCUAGCAGACGGCAAAGAGUCGCACAGCAGACGGCAAACAUGUAGGUGGGCCCACCUGACCGCGGGGACGUUAGGUCAAACUGGAGUCCCUUCUUUGUCGUCUGCUAGCGGACGUCAAAGAGUCCGGAGGCAGACGACAAAGAGUCUAGACUCUUUGCCGUCCGCCGACAAAGAGCUAACUCCGUUAACGGCUCUUUGCCCCCACCCCGCCCCUCUCUCUCUCUCUCACCCACACUGUGUAACGGCUNNNNNNNNNNNNNNNNNNNNNNNNNNNNNNNNNNNNNNNNNNNNNNNNNNNNNNNNNNNNNNNNNNNNNNNNNNNNNNNNNNNNNNNNNNNNNNNNNNNNCGUUACAGGUAACGUAUGCCUUAAAUGCUAAUAAAGGUACAUGAAAACAUAUGACCGUUGCCCUCCAGGGGGGUUAUGAUAUACAAAGUGGAAUCCAAUCGGUAAGUUUGAUACGCUCCGAAUGCUCGUCUCCGGCUCGAUGAUGGAGGGAUCGUCACCGACUGGAUGAUGGGAAGUCCUUAAUUCAGUCGGAACUGACUAAGGUCCUUGUCCCUUAUGAAGGGUAGUCCUUGGGUAGGACAUAUAGGGCAGGCCUAUGACCCUACCCUAGGACUAUAACCCCAUCAUUAGUCCCCGAAUGGAUCAGGGUUGGAACGACGAAGCGAUGCUUGGAGUACGGAUCCGACUGGUAUGGAUGCGACUUUGGCGUUGUUUGCCUUGAUCCAUUUUAUCCUCUUGACCAGUGAUCCGAGUGGAUAUAUCUGUGAAACGAACCGUUAGAGAACGAGUGCUUCCGCGGAAUCUUUUGACGUGACCGGUCAACUGACAGCAGCGGAUUUUCUAGGAACCUCAAAUUUCGGUUGCCGCGUGCUCACCGGGGAUGACGACAUCGUCAUCGAGUAGUUUCUGCCGCCUCGAUUACCGCGCCUUCAUCUCCUCCACUAAUAUCGCAACAGCCGGUCGGGGGAUAAGAUUUCGGGGCCACCUGCUAGUGACCCAGUCGGAAGCUUAUUUAAACCUCUCCAGCGAGGGUUUCUCGUUGCGCUCACUUGAUUACUCGCACUCGCCCCGCUUCUCCCAUGGCUCUCUGCGCAUCCCAAGCUUCCCCCUUCCUCUCCUCCCCCGCGGAUCUGCAGCCUCCACCAUGACGAAGGGGCAGACGAGCAAGCUCGAGUCGCAGAAGAAGAAGAAGAAGAAGGCGGCUCCUGCUCAGCGGCGACAGCGGGCACUGCCGGCGGGUCAGAUCCAGGGGGAUUUCCUCCCCUCCACGGUGAUGAUGAAUGACAUGCUGGAGCUGGUGGAGCAAGGUAUGAUCGAAAACAAGUCGUGGAGGCUGCCGGCGGAGGGCGAGACGGAGCCGGUGCCCCAGGAGGGGGAGCGCGUCUUGCUGCUCAGUCACGUGUACCGAGGCUUCUCUCUGCCUCCUCAUCCCUUCUUCAGAGGUAUCAUGAACCACUUCGGGGCGCAGCUCCAUCAUUUUCCUCCCAACGCAAUAGCUCAUAUUUCUGCAUUCGUCGUGCUUUGCGAGUGCUUUAUCGGUUGUCCUCCCCAUUGGGGGCUCUUUAAGUACAUCUUCUCCGCUAGAUCCCAAACCGUCAAAAGACUUAGCCAAUCGGACGACAAAACUCAUAUCCUCCAGCUCUGCGGAGGCUUAGGCUUCCAGAAGAAAAACAAAAGUAGCUAUCCUGCUAUUCAGUUGUCCGAGUCCGUUAGGAACUGGCAGUCGACUUGGUUCUAUUGCCAGGACGUCGCUUGUCCGAAUGUCGCAACUGGACUGCCACCUUUUAGCCUAGACCGACCGGCUCCGCCCAGGCAGCUUGCGCUCACGAAGAUGGAAAAGAUCCAGAUUCAGCCUCUGGUCGAAGCGGUGAUAGAUGUCGUCCGCAAGGGAGUCACCGGCACGGAUUUGCUGGAGAUUUUUCUGGGUCGGCGCAUCCAGCCUUUGCAAGAUCGACACCACGCCAUGUGGCACUACACGGGGCCUGAGGACUCCGCUCGGACUCACCCCAAAUGCGUGACCGGGGAGGUUGUGACGGUGUGGAUCCGCAGCAUCACAGGCGCCUGCGAUAACCCCAGAGGAGCCCGGCGAGUGAAGCCCUUCCGCGCUGACAACCCUCCUCCGAAUGAGGUGAGUAUAUCUUGUCGAGUGCUUACAAUUAUCUUAGAUUUAUCGCUUUUUCUUGUAUCACUGUCUGACGUCUGAUGUUGUCGACUCUAUCUCGUGCAGGCGUGGACCAACUGGUUUUCUCCCGUCUCGAACGGGAAUCCGGCUAAGGAAGAGGAAGGCAGCCAGGAGGGCAGCAUGGAGAGCGUCGAGUACGUCUCCGACAGUGCAGAGACGGAGGAGGAGUCCGAAGAGGAGGAGGGGGAAGUUGGGGAGCAGAGCUCGCCACCCCCACCACCAGAGCCUCGAACUAAGCGCCGUCACGAACCCGUGACUCCGUCGGCUCCUCUAGCGGCCCCGAGUGCCCCGCCAGCUCCUCCCAUGGUUCCGAGCGCCUUGCCAGCUACUCCCGUGGCUCCGAGUGCUCGGAGCACCAAGAGGACCAGGGACGCUGCUGCUGAGCCCGCGGGCCAACCUUCCAAGGUGGCCAAACCGAGUGGAUCCAAGCCUCGGAAAGCUUUGCCUCGGAUGAGGAUCGCCGUUCCCGUUGCCUCAGCGUAAGUGUCUUGUUCUCCUAUCUUCUUUCAGUAUUUGAUUGAACUCAUGCUUAUUGGUCAAGUGGAUUUUACUCGACAGAGCUGCUACCUCCGCAACCUCUCUGCCACGCCAGGAAGACGACCCCAUGGAUACGGAUAACGUUGCCACAUCCCAGCAAGGUACGUUGUGGCGACUCCGAGAGUUUGCAUUAUUGUUUCGUGAAUUUUGUCUUUAAUCUUGCCCUUUUUCCGUGGUCUCAUGUCGUUCAGUCAGGCUUCCUUCAGAGGUGAUUCAUCUGGAGGAGGAUGACCAGAAGGGGUCCGGGCAAGCUUUGGCGCCUGUCCUUGAGGUUGUUCCAUCUGCUACUGCUCCCGCCAUGGACGCGCCGCCGACCGAGACGAUGCCGUUGACUGAGCCGACUGGAGCGGGACUUGGGAUGCCCAAGGAGUCUCAUGUCGUGCCGGGUCCGUCGAAUGUCCAGUACGACGCCCGACACCUCCCGGAAGAUCAAGUGGGAUCCGCCAAGGAGGCUAUGGUGCAGGUGCAGUUGAUGGAGGGUGAUGCGAAGGGGGCGUACGACGCCAUCGCAUCUUUGUACAAGAGAAGCUUGGAGCUCCAGGAUGAUAUCCGAGUAAGUGCGCUAGUAAGUAUUUGCUUUCCUCUUGUAACCCACUGGGGGUUUAAGCGAUAUACUCCAUACAGUAGGAUUAUUUUGCAGUGGGUUCACUCUGAGUGAACCCAGUGGGUGUAGUCCCCGAGACUUCUGUCGAGUGCUUGCACCGGCAGUUGUCUGUAUAUACAUUUUCUUUGACUUGAUCGGAUCAAAACUAAUCUGUCCGAAUGGUACCAGUGGGGGCACUCCGAGUGCACCUACUGGAAGUAGUCCCCGAGAGUAAUUUUACUCAGGUCGGGUAGUAGUAACGUCAUAGGCUUGUUUUUUGUUAUGUAGCUCAAUAGGGCGGACCUGUUCGAGCUUCAUGCCAGUGGGGUCACUCUUAGUGAACCCACUGGGUGUAGUCCCCGAGACCGCUGUCGACUGCUUGCGUCGGCAGGGGUCUGAAGAACUUUUGAGCUUUUAUUGUUUUCCUUGUUGAAUGUGUCUGAUCUUCUCUUCGCGCUGAUUUGCAGAAGACUUGCGAGAUGGGAUCAGCGUACAAUGCUCUGAAGGCUGAAAAGAUUCAUCUUGCUGCGGAACUGGAGGCAGUUGUGCAUGACUUAGCUGGUGUGAAGGGUGCUCUUGCUGAACGAGAGAAGUCCUUGGAGGAGUCCGUGAGGCAAACAAGGCAUUGGUGGCCGAAAUUGAGAAAAUGGGCAAGCAAAGAACUGAGCUGAUGGGUCAGAUGAAGUUGAUGAAUAGUCGGUGCAUAUCGCAGGAGAAGUACGUCAGUGACUGGGCAAGGAAGAUGAUUGCGCUGCUCGGUGGUAAGUUUUUCCGAGUGCUUCUUGACUUUGUAUUUCAUUCUGCGCUUACUUUCUGCUCGUCUUGUCUUUGCAGAUUUUUGUAUGGACGCUGAGGCUGAAGCAGCUGACGUUGAGUGGUCGGUUAUUCCGAACGUUCCACUCGGCGACGAAGCCAAUCGAGACAUGCUCCGAGCGCACAUUCGCCUUGGCAGAGUGGGACCUUUCAUCGGUCUCCCGAGAGAAGUCGUCGGCCGAAUCGACAAGGAGCUGUGGCCCGAAGACGAGUCCCGGCGGGAGAUAGAAGGGUUGAUGACUCGGCUGGAGGACGUCCCGAACCGAGUGCAGGCAUGGAAGAAGUCUGCUGCUCGCUGUGGUGCGGACGUGGCGCUGUCGCUCGUCUGAGUGCACUGCAAGGAAGCUCGCGAAGAGAAGCUGAAGGCGUUGCAGGUCACCAACACCAAGAAGCUUCGAUUCUAAGAUUUCAUGGAGACCUUCCUUGAUACCGCCACUCGCAUCGUAGACGAGAUCGACCUUGACACUUUUGUGGAGCCUGCCAGUCCCAGUGCCAGUCCUGACAGCGCAUGAAAAACUUUACCUCGGUAUGCCGAGUGGUAUUUGUAUCAAACUUUGGCCACUGCUGUUGGCCGUCACAUUCGUGGUUCGGUGUGUAUAAGCUUGAUCUACACCGAGCCGACUAUUGUUGAACCAACUUUGAAUUCGAAUCAAAUAUUUUGCUCUUCUUUCGCCGAAAUUUUUUUGACACGAUUUUGCCUCGUGGUUUCUUGGUGAAGCCAAUGGCAAACAUGCAGAGCAUGUAGUUGUCAGUUGUCUUCACAUCUGCAUGAGCCCCAAUGAGGGUCUGCUACGCCUCCGAGUGGAUCUCUAGGAUACGCUCGAAGGAAGCUUUUUACUUAGGCGAUUCGUGAUCGCAGCUAAUUCUUCGAGCGCGACUGUAAGGUCGAACUCGGAGCGAGUUGCUACUCAUGUAAUUGUCAGUUGUCUUCACAUCUACAUGAGCCUCAAUGAGGGUCUGCUAAGCCUCCGAGUGGAUCUCUAAGAUACACUCGAAGGAAGCUUUUUACUUAGGCGAUUCUUGAUCGCAGCCAAGUCCCCGAGUGCGACGUUUAGUGUACACUCGGAGAAAGUUUGUACUUAGGCGAUUCUGGAUUGCAGCUAAGUCCCCGAGUGCGACGUUUAGUGCACACGCGGAGAAAGUUAGUACAUAGGCGAUUCUGGAUCGCAGCUAAGUCCCCGAGUGCGACGUUUAGUGCACACUCGGAGAAAGUUAGUACUUAGGCGAUUCUAGAUCGCAGCUAAGUCCCCGAGUGCAACGUUUAGUGCACACUCGGAGAAAGUUUGUACUUAGGCGAUUCUGGAUCGCGGCUAAGUCCCCGAGUGCGACGUUUUGUGCACACUCGGAGAAAGUUAGUACUUAGGCUAUUCUGGAUCACAGCUAAAUCCCCGAGUGCGACGUUUAGUGCACACUCGGAGAAAGUUAGUACUUAGGCAAUUCUGGAUUGCAGCUAAGUCCCCGAGUGCGACGUUUAGUGCACACCCGGAGAAAGUUUUUUUUUGAGACCAGAGUCUGCCGACGCGGAAGAAUUUUGAAUCUGCAAAACCUCAAUCUGCUUUGUAUUACUUCAAUGAUACUUGUUCUUUACAUUGCCCCAGUCGGCGAUCACGUGUAGAAGCGCUUCAGGAGAUCUCCGUUCCAUGCUCGCGGCUCAUCCGUUUCCCUGUCGAGGUUGUAGAGUCGAUAUGCUCCGUUGUUCAGCACCUUGGAGAUGAUGAAGGGUCCUUCCCAGGCGGGAGCCGACUUGUGAGGUCUCUACUGAUCCACUCGGAGCACCAGGUCGCCUGCUUGGAAUGUACGACUCCUGACGUGCCAUGCGUGAAAUCGCCGCAGAUCUUGUUGAUAAAUGGUUGAGCGGGUCAGUGCCAUCUCGCGCUCCUCUUCUAGAAGACCCACUCCGUCUUGCCUGGCUUGCUCUGCUUCGGCUUCGGAGAAGAGUUUGACUCGUGGUAACGAUUCCGACAAUAGAAAGAGGGUAGGAUAACGGAGCAUGAUCUAUCAAGAUGCACAUGGGUGACACGGUGGUUUUAGCGAGUUCAGGCCUCUCACAGUGGAGAUAACAACCCUACGUCUCGUNNNNNNNNNNNNNNNNNNNNNNNNNNNNNNNNNNNNNNNNNNNNNNNNNNNNNNNNNNNNNNNNNNNNNNNNNNNNNNNNNNNNNNNNNNNNNNNNNNNNUGAGGUGCCCUUGGGUAGGACGUACUGGUCAGACCUAUGACCCUACCCUAGGGCUAUAUCCCCGUCAUUAGCCCCCGAAUGGAUCAGGGUCCGAGUGGUGAAGGUGUCGAUGUAAAUCUUGUAGCAGCAGACCGAACUUGAACGUGCUUCAGGGCCUUGCAAAAUUAUGCGUUGAUUGAAGUCUUCAUCAUUCGCCCUGAUCGAUUCCGCUGAGUAGUACGUCCGAGUGAACUUAAGAAUUGAAGUAGAUCCGAGUGACCAACAGGAUCUUGAGACUGUGACUGACUGCUGGUAGUCGGUUGGAAUCUAUUGAAUCUGUUGAACUUGGAUGUUGUUGGUGGACCUGACCAAGCAGAAUGUUUCUUUUUUGUUCUUCUCUUCUAGUGGGGGCACGCUAAGUGCACCCACUGGGUGUAGUCCCCGAGCCUCUGUCGGACUAGAAGAGUCCGACAGAGGGUUUAAGUCAUCCAAUGCUCGUCAUGUUGAAUGUUUGUUGUAUCUGCAUUAUAUGAUUUCUGGAUCAAAGUCAAGUCUCCGAGUGUAUUUUUUAACUUAGGCGAUUCGGGGUCGUAGCUAAGUUCCCGAGUGUGGAGCGUGUCUGUACUCGGAGUAGUUUUAACUUAGGCGAUACAGAGUCGCAGUGAAGCCCCCGAGUGCGGAGCAUGUCCGCACUCAGAGUUGUUUUUAACUUAGGCGAUACGGAGUCGCAGCUAAGCCCCCGAGUGUGGAGCAUGUCCGCACUCGGAGUAGUUUUUAACUUAGGCGAUACGGAGUCGCAGCUAAGCCCCCGAAUGUGGAGCAUGUACGCACUCAGAGUUGUUUUUAACUUAGGCGAUACAGAGUCGCAGCUAAGUUCCCGAGUGUGGAGCGUGUCUGUACUCGGAGUAGUUUUAACUUAGGCAAUACAGAGUCGCAGUGGAGCCCCCGAGUGUGGAGCAUGUCCGCACUCAGAGUAGUUUUGAACUUAGGCNNNNNNNNNNNNNNNNNNNNNNNNNNNNNNNNNNNNNNNNNNNNNNNNNNNNNNNNNNNNNNNNNNNNNNNNNNNNNNNNNNNNNNNNNNNNNNNNNNNNNNNNNNNNNNNNNNNNNNNNNNNNNNNNNNNNNNNNNNNNNNNNNNNNNNNNNNNNNNNNNNNNNNNNNNNNNNNNNNNNNNNNNNNNCCCCAAAGGUGGAGCAUGUCCGCACUCGGAGUAGUUUUGAACUUAGGCGAUACGGAAUCACAGCUAAGUCCCCGAGUGUGGAGCAUGUCCGCACUCGGAGUAGUUUUGAACUUAGGCGAUACGGAAUCGCAGUUAAGCCCCCGAGUGUGGAGCGUGUCCGUACUCGAAGUAGUUUUAACUUAGGCGACACGGAGUCGCAGCUAAGUCCCCAAGUGUGGAACGUGUCCGUACUCGAAGUAGUUUUAACUUAGGCAACACGGAGUCGCAGCUAAGUCCCCGAGUGUGGAGCAUGUCCGCACUCANNNNNNNNNNNNNNNNNNNNNNNNNNNNNNNNNNNNNNNNNNNNNNNNNNNNNNNNNNNNNNNNNNNNNNNNNNNNNNNNNNNNNNNNNNNNNNNNNNNNNNNNNNNNNNNNNNNNNNNNNNNNNNNNNNNNNNNNNNNNNNNNNNNNNNNNGGUCCGUACUCGAAGUAGUUUUAACUUAGGUGACACGGAGUCGCAGCUAAGUCCCCGAGUCUGGAGCAUGUCCGCACUCAGAGUAGUUUUGAACUUAGGCGAUACGGAAUCGCAGCUAAGUUCCCGAGUGUGGAGCAUGUCCGCACUCGGAGUAGUUUUGACUUAGGCGGCACCGAAUCGCAGCUAAGUCCCCGAGUGUGGAGCAUGUCCGUACUCGAAGUAGUUUUAACUUAGGCGACACGGAGUCGCAGCUAAGUCCCCGAGUGUGGAGCAUGUCCGCACUCGGAGUAGUUUUGAACUUAGGCGAUACGGAAUCACAGCUAAGUCCCCGAGUGUGGAGCAUGUCCGCACUCGGAGUAGUUUUGAACUUAGGCGAUACAGAAUCGCAACUAAGCCCCCGAGUGUGGAGCAUGUCCGCACUCGGAGUAGUUUCAACUUAGGCGACACGGAGUCGCAGCUAAGCUGAGCGGUGGCGCGCGAGGCAGCCGAAUGAUGAAGACGUGCCACACGGAGUGGCGACGCGCAUGGCAUCCGAGUGAGGUAGACGAUUCUGGCUGAGUGGCAACGCGCGGGGCGACCAAGUGAUGUAUGUUGAGGAGGCGUCCGACCCACUGACGGCACGCGGGGCGGCGUGUCCACUACGUCAUUGCGGGGGCUUCCGAACACGUGAAAACGCAUGAAUGAUCGUUGCGACGACUGAGCCUAAGCAGCGACGGGGAUGGCGCACGGAUGCGUCGAGUAACCUGUGUAUGAAAAAUAGCACAAGCCAACAUAAAAAAUUAUCAAAGUAAUAUGAUCUUUUCUGAAAUAGUUCGUGUAAAUUGCACCCAUAGACACCCAGUGGGUGUGCCACGUGAUUGCUGGUUCGGAACCAGCAAGAGUCUAAAAGAGUGAAGGAUCCGGCUGAACUCGUUUGAGUACUGGACCGAAACAAAGCGGAAGUGAAGUGUUCCCACAUAAAAAUAAAUAACCGAGUGCAGAGGUACACUCGGUGGCGUGGCAUCCGAGUGAACGUCAUGUGAGACUUCCUCGACACUCGGUAAUGCGGAAGCAACUAUUUAAUUGAAUGAAGCAUAUGGAGAAUGACUUAGCUUUCUGACGGCGCGGGAGCAGCCGAGUGAUGAAGGAGCGAUUAACUGAGUGAAGGUGCGCGGAGCGACCGAGUGAUGCAGGUCUGUCUCGCCGAGUGGCGACGCGCGGGGCGGCCAGGUUACGAAGGAGCGUCCAGUCAAGUGGCGAUGCGCAGAGCUGCCGAGCGACGAAGAUGCGUCCUGUUCGUUAGCUGACCGAGUGAAAAGGAGAAUCGGCCGAAUGAACCACAGCUGGGCCGCGAUCCGGUCGCCACACCAUCAGCCGAGUGUGAUAAACGAUGAGUCGGCCGGGCGGCGUUAUUUGUCUCAGUAAGCCUGCAAGUUUAGCAAAUACACGUACAUCCAAAAAUAUUUUUUGUUGGACUAAAGUGUCCACAUAUGGAUGCUAUUUUGCAAGAAGUAAAGACCACGGAUGGUUGCGCAUGCAUGCACGAAUUAACCGGUGUGGAAACUGAAAGGUAAGCAAUUUCAGACUUCAUGAUGAAAUAACAUCUACGUUACUCAUUUUAAGAGCGUGCAAUUAAGCGUGGGUGUUAAUCACCGCAUAACUAAGACCAGCAUGCUGCGUGUUAUACACAUGUAAUGGUGGGCCGGUCCUACCCAGGCACUCAAGCCGCGAGCGCUGCUGCAUGCUUUCCUUACAUGUGCACAUCCUGCUUCACAAACUGACGCGAUUUAUGGGCAGAAAUUGGUACAAUGGAGGAAGGUACUGUCAUGGUGGAGCGGACUGUCCUGGUUGUGGCGUUGUGCCUGCCCUAUGCCUCCACCGUAGAGGCGGCCACUGGACCAUCAACGUCGGGGACGCCGGUUGACUCUGCGGCUCCCCGACGCGUGGGCCACUACGACAGGGGAGACCCACGUGCUGGUUGCUGCGACCUGUCGCUCGAGGAGCCAGAGCGCCGGUCGAGCCGACGCCGUCGAGCAUUUGCCCAGAGGAAGGGAAGUGUCGCGGUUGAGCACGAGCGGCCAGCACCGACACGCGCGCGCAUCGAAGCCGUGUCUCUACCGCAGAGAUUACCAUCUGCAGUCGACCGUAUGGGGAAGUGCCACGGUCGAGGACGCGGCCAGCCUCGACGCCGGCACCGCGUCGGAUGGUUGAUGCUAUAGGGAGGAUUCGUCAAGUGUAGAUACAUGGCAAGUCCCGACAUUCGCACCAUGUCGGGUCCACGCUCCCAUCGAGGAAUCCGCCAUUGUGUAGUCGACUGGAGGAAGAGGCCAUCGAUAAUGGUGCUUGGACGCUCGGGAGCUGGAUCAUCGAUCAAGUUCCAGCUGAUGGCUGGAGGUUCACUGAUUGAAUUCUUCGUUGACAAAUAGCUUGUCUCCGAUGGAAAAUACCGAAUCAUCGUGGUGUUCCUGUUCUUGAUAGAAGUAAGAUGCAUCAAAAACAGAAAAAAUAGAUAUAAGAGCGAACACAAACCAUAUGCAUCAUGGCUCGAUAGACGCCACGCCCCACGGUGGGCGCCAAAUGUCGUGGUAACGAUUCUGACAAUAGAAAGAGGGUAGGAUAACGGGGCAUGAUCUAUCAAGAUGCACAUGGGUGACACGGUGGUUUUAGCGAGUUCAGGCCUCUCACAGUGGAGAUAACAACCCUACGUCUCGUACUUCGGAGAGGCUUUGUUUUAUAUGUCAUGGACCUGAGUUGCAUGGUGUAGAGAGAGAGAGCCAGAGCUCGAGGGAAAGAAUGAGCCCGNNNNNNNNNNGCUCCGCAGAGGCUUUGUUUUAUCUGUCAUGGACCUGAGUUACAUGGUGUAGAGAGAGAGAGCCAGAGCUCGAGGGAAAGAAUGAGCCCGAAGGAGGAGAAGAAGAAGAUGUCCCUAGCUAUGUGGAGGGGGUGGCUUAUAUAGAGUGCGCCACCUCCUCACCUCUUAUGUUACAAGAUGGGGCAUUGAUGCCAUAAUGUUAGCCCAUUACAGAUGUCUUGCCGACUGUUGGUAUUUGCAUGACCGAGUGAGUCAUAUGGCCGAGUGGUUGACUAUCAUCCGAGUGGAUGGAAUGUACUUGUCCGAGUGGAUCCGUACCGAGUGGAUUAGAUGUUGUCACGAUCCAGUAGGAAUUUCCCUUGUAGUCCUUCAACUAAUAAUGAGGUGCCCUUGGGUAGGACGUACUGGUCAGACCUAUGACCCUACCCGUCAGAUACCUUGGCCUGUACAAAAACCUUUGAAUCUGCCUGAGUCGAAAUUUGUGCCAUUGUCGGUGAUUAUGUUGUGCGGUACCCCGAAUCUAGAGAUGAUGUCCCUGACAAACUUGAUGGCCGUAAGGGCGUCGAGCUUCUUGAUGGGCUUGGCUUCAAUCCACUUGGUGAACUUGUCGACUGCCACCAACAGAUGCGUGAAUCCCCCUUGGCCUGUCCUGAAUGGACCGACUGUAUCUAAUCCCCACACUGCAAACGGCCAAACAAGAGGGAUUGUCUUCAGCGCGGAUGUUGGCUUGUGGGAUUUGUUCGAGUAGAACUGACAGCCUUCGCAUCGGUCGACCAUAUCCUUCGCCAUUUCAUUCGCCUGCAACUAGAAGAAACCAGCUCUGAAUUCUUUGGCGAUGAUUGCCCUUGAGGAGGCAUGAUGACCGCAGGUUCCCGAGUGAAUUUCUUCCAGGAUUAACUGUCCCUCCUCAGGGGAGAUGCAUCGUUGAAGGACGCCUGAAACACUUUCUUUGUACAAUUGGCCAUCAAUGACAGUGAACGACUUUGACCUGCGGACGAUCUGUCUGGCUUGGACCUCAUCUUGUGGUAAUUCUUGCCUUAGGAUGUACGCAAUGAACGGCACAGUCCAAUCGGGGAUAACCGCAAGAAUCUCCAUGAUCAGAUCAACCACAGCGGGGACCUCGACUUCAGUCGGAUCUGUCGAGCUCUUUGGUUGUACUGGUUCCUCUGUGAAUGGAUCUUCUUUAACUCAGGGAAGGUGUAGGUGCUCGAGGCAGACAUCACUCGGGACUAGUCUCCGAGUGGAUCCAAGUUUUACCAAUUCAUCAGCUGCUUGGUUUUUCAGUCGCGGAACAUGGUGGAGUUCCAGACCUUCAAACUUUUUCUCGAGCUUCCUCACCGCGUUGCAGUAUGUAGUCAUGGUGGGGUUCCUUACGUCCCACUCCUUCAUCACUUGAUUAACCACCAAAUCUGAAUCGCCAUAGACCAUCAGGCGACGGACGCCGAGUGCGAUGGCCAUGCGCAAUCCAUAAAGGAGAGCUUCAUACUCUGCCUCGUUGUUGGAGGAAUCGAAAUGUAUCUGCAACACAUACUUGAGUUUGUCACCUUUUGGCGAUAUGAUCACAACACCAGCGCCGGAGCCAUUCAACAUCUUGGACCCAUCGAAGAACAUUGUCCAAUGAGCCGAGUAGAUGUGAGUCGGUUGCUGUUGUUCUACCCAUUCUGCUAUGAAGUCAGCCAGAGCUUGAGACUUUAUAGCUUUCUUGGCCUCGAACUUGAUGUCGCAGUAUAACAUCUCCAUUGCCCACUUCGCCACUCGGCCCGAUGCGUCCCGAUUGUGGAGGAUUUCCGACAACGGAGCAUCAAAAACGACAGACACCGAGUGGUCUUGGAAAUAAUGAGCCACCUUCUUCGCAGUCAUGUAAAUCCUGUAAAUAAGUUUUUGAUAGUGGGGAUACCUCUGCUUGGAGGGAGUCAGGACUUCAGAGACAUAAUACACUGGCCGCUGAGCCUUGUAUGCUUUGCCUUCUUCUUCGCGUUCGACUGUGAGAACAGUGCUGACGACUUGAUUUGUAGUCGCGAUGUACAGAAGAAGGGGUUCUUUACUGAGCGGAGCAGUAAGAACCGGCUGGGUGGAAAGUAGGACUUUGAGGUCGUCGAAUGCGAUUUGGGCUUCGUCUGUCCACUCGAAAGUAUCUGAUUUCUUCAUGAGUCGGUACAGAGGUAGCGCCUUCUCGCCGAGUCGACUGAUAAACCUGCUCAAAGCCGCUAGGCAACCUGUGAGCCUUUGAACAUCGUGUAUUCUGACCAGCCGCUCCAUUCAGACGAUGGUCCCGAUCUUUUCGGGGUUGACAUCGAUCCCUCGUUCGAAAACAAAGAAACCGAGUAACUUUCCGCUGGGAACACCGAAUGAACACUUGGCUGGGUUGAGCUUGAUAUCGUACCUACGAAGGUUGGCGAAUGUUUCUGCCAAGUCAGUCAGCAGGUCGGAACCUUUGCGUGACUUGACUAUGAUAUCAUCCAUAUACGCCUCCACAUUUCGACCGAUCUGGUCAAGGAGGCAUUUUUGGAUCAUGCGCAUAAAAGUUGCUCCUGCAUUCUUCAAACCGAAUGGCAUAGUGAUGUAGCAGAAGCACCCGAAUGGGGUGAUGAAGGCUGUUUUUAAUUCAUUGGGGCCAUACAGAUGGAUCUGAUGAUAGCCCGAGUAGGCAUCAAGGAAUGACAAACGCUCGCAACCCGCAGUCGAAUCGACAAUUUGAUCAAUGCGGGGGAGCGGGAAAUGGUCUUUCGGGCAGACCUUAUUGAGAUGCUUGAAGUCGAUGCACAUUCGGAGAGACUUGUCCUUCUUGGGCACCAUAACAACGUUGGCGAGCCACUCGGAAUGGUGUACCUCGCGAAUGAAGUUGGCUGCCAAAAGUUUAGCCACCUCCUCUCCGAUUGCCUUCCUCUUGUGCGCGGCGGACCGACGCAAGCGUUCUCGGACAGACCGAGCAGCGGGAUCCACAUGCAGUCGGUGCUCAGCGAACUCCCUAGGUACACCUAGCAUGUUAGCGGGCUUCCAUGCGAAAAUGUCCCAGUUCUCACGGAGGAAUUGGAUGAGCUCGGCUUCCUAUUUUGGAUCGAGGGUGGUCGAGAUGUUCGUCGGGGCAGCGGUGUCGUCCGUCGGGUGGAUGCUGACCUUCUUCGUGUCUCCCGCCGACUGGAAUGCGGACUCCGAAGCUGGCUUAUUCGAACGCAUCAAGUCAGCGGGGUCGGCUCUCUUCUUGUACUCGUCGAGCUCGAGGAUAGCCAUCUGCUGAUCGGCGAUCCUCGACCCCUACUGCAGACACUCCUCGGCUCGCUGCCGAUUGCCUGCGACAGUGAUCACACCUUUGGGACCUGGCAUCUUCAGCUUAAGGUACACGUAACAUGGACGGGCCAUGAAACGCGCAUACGCCGGACGGCCCAGAAUCGCGUGGUAUGCACUCUGGAAGUCCACCACCUCGAAUGUCAGCUUUUCCUUGCGGAAGUUCUUGUCGGAGCCGAAAACGACGUCCAACGCGAUAUGGCCGAGUGACUUGGCCUUUCGUCCAGGGACGACUCCGUGGAAAUGCAUGCUGGUCUCGCUAAGUUUGGACAUCGGAAUGCCCGUCCCCUUGAGAGUGUCGGCGUACAUUAUGUUCAAGCCGCUGCCGCCGUCCAUGAGGACUUUGCGCAGUCGGACUCCUUCCACCACCGGGUCGACGACCAGAGCCUGCCUCCCUGGGGUGGGCACGUGUGCUGGAUGAUCCGACUGGUCAAAGGUGAUCGCAGUCUGAGACCAUUUGAGGAACGUGGGGUUGGUUGGGGUGGCCAUGUUCACCUCCCUGUUCACCAGCUUUAGUCGACUCUUGCUUUCCACGUCAGCAAAAAUCAUCAGUGUUGCAUGGACUUGGGGGAAUGGAUCCUCCUUCUCCUCCUCAUCUUGUUCAUUGUCCUUUUCACUCGGCUGCCCUUCGCCGAACCCUUGGAUCAGGAGGCGACAUUGCCGAGUGGUAUGCUUCGGAAAUAUGGCGUUGCCUUCUUCAUCCAUCUUCGUGUGGAUUGGACAUGGCUGAUCCAGGAUGUGGUUUCCGAACUGCUUCUUCUUGGGGGUGAACUGAGCCUUCCCCUUGCCCUUGAACUUGGCCUUGGUAACGGCUGCGACCUCUGCCUGCGGAGUGGACGGAGCUUUCUGCUUCUGCUUCCAAGUGCUGUUCCCAUCUCCAUCGGCGACUGCUUUAUGCUUGUCGCUACGAAUGCGGUCCUCUUCUUCGCCAUUUGCAUAGCGUGCCGCUAUCUCCAUCAUCUUGAUCAUGGAGAUGUCGCCUGUCCGACCGAACUUCAGGUACAGAUCUUUGUACCGCACGCCUGCCUUGAAGGCGCAGACUGCUUGGUGCUCUAUGACGUUCUCCACCGUGUGGUAGAGGGUUGUCCAACGCUGGAUGAAAUCGCGCAGGGGCUCAUUCUGCUUCUGGACACAGUGCUGGAGCUCCACGAGACCAGAAGGGCAUUUGCACGUCCCCUCGAAGGUCCUGAUGAAGACUCGGGCCAGAUCUGCCCAGCUAUAGAUGCUUGAAGGAGCCAACUGGUUCAACCACGCUCGUGCCGAGCCGUCGAGCAUCAGGGGGAGAUGUUUCAUGGCGACCUGGUCAUCUCCACCAUCGAUCUGGACCGCCACUCGGUAGUCGUCCAGCCACGUUUCUGGCUUGGAUUCUCCUGCAACUUGCUGAUCCCCGUCGCCAAUCGGAAGUUGGGAGGGAUGUCAGCCGAACGGAUGGCCCGACUGAACCACUCGGGGCCGGAGACGAUGGUCUUGCUUCCACUCGGACGGUCUCUAUCGUGACCAUCACGGUGGGCUCGGCUCCUGUCGACCUUCCUCUCGGCGAUGUACCCUCUUGCGUCGGGCCUUGGAUCAUAAGUGUCAUUGACCGAACGCCGAUCAUCAUGAUGUCGGGGCCCAUAGGGCCCACCCAGCGAAGGGGUGCGUGAACGGCGACGAUCCUCGGGAUUCAUGGAACGGUUGCCUCCUCUGUGUCGCUGAUGAGAAUCGGGGCUGAAAACUGACCGACGCGUGUUCGCGUGAACAGAACUGUUGUGGAUCCUGUUGUGCGACUCGGAGACCGCCGAAUUCUGCUGCUGCGCCGUGUGCAACAGGGCACAGAUCUGCUCGAUCCCUCUGCCAGCCUCUGAAUCAGUCGGCUGGAGGGAAUCGGCUAUCUUGGCGGCGGCACCCAGGUUGAGGACG
RNAcentral lists this long non-coding RNA (67366 nucleotides) under Hordeum vulgare. RNAcentral describes it as "long non-coding RNA (HVUL_LNC006266)". Lineage: Eukaryota; Viridiplantae; Streptophyta; Magnoliopsida; Poales; Poaceae. The record is from RNAcentral.